Molecule: long non-coding RNA, 68231 nt
Filed under: Nicotiana tabacum (common tobacco)
Lineage: Eukaryota; Viridiplantae; Streptophyta; Magnoliopsida; Solanales; Solanaceae
Description: long non-coding RNA (NTAB_LNC008037)
Source: RNAcentral
UUCGGGUAAACAGUUAUAUUUAAACUAUAUCAAUUCAAUGUUCUGUAUUGUAUAAAAGAAUUAAUAUUAUUACAAGUGGUAAAAAGAAUAUGUAAAUACACCGCUGAUCAAAUUUAUGUAGUACAGUAGUAGUUAAGUUUAGAAGUAAAAGAAUGAGAAGUAAGUAAAUAGAGAAAUGGCAUAGCAAGACCACCCUAAGGUGAUGGCUGGGCUGCUACUGCUGCUGCUACUAGAACUACGAGACGCACCGGCUCCUCUACCGAUGCCGCCACUGCCGCUGCCGCCACUGCCGCUGCCGCUGCCGCCACCUCUUCGAGCAACGGCAGAUGUUAGGAGGAGGCAAAUGACAGAAAAUAAAAUCACAACCGUCACAUUCUUCUUCAUUAAUUCCUUGUCAGCUAGUUGUUCUGCAGUUACUUUCUUGAUAUGAUCUAAUUAAUUCGUUUUCUUCUUCCUCUUCCUUUUAUGUUUCUUUUCUCUUUUUUCUUGUGUGUCCUGUGGAUGUGCAAAUUUAUAUCAUACUUCUUAGCUUGAAAAGAUAUAGGCGAUUCACUUAAACCACGAAGUUUCGUUGACACGCUUAAUUCCAAUAACUCAAGUAUUGAAACUAGAUAUUCAAGAGAAGAAUAAGUCAACAAAAGUUGCUAAUAAUAAUAAUGUUUUAGCUGGCGUUCUUUAUUGAAAAGUCAAAAUUCGGACGACUCUUGUCCAAUUAUACAAGUUGGAGGCACCCACCUUAAACUACACUUGUCUCCACCGAUUCAAUGUUUAUUAAUUUUUUUUCUCAACACCUCUAUUCAUUACAUUUUAAAGGUUGUAAAUGGCAUGAUAUACUUCUCCAUAUUGGUAUGACAAAAAUUGAAUAUGAUUUUCGAUGCAAAAUUAGAACUUUUUUUAGAAAAUAAAAAACUAAAAGGAAGUAUUUUUAGUUUUCCAGAAGAAAAAAAAAAGCUCAUAUAUUUGUAUACGGUUAAAAUCGAUCCUCGGUCAUGAAGAUCGAUCGAGGAUGGCAUUUCAAUCGAGGGGUACCUUCAUGGAGACCCCGAGCGAAUUCCGAGAUGGGGGCGUCGAGCCCGGGCGUUCGAACCGACCGAGGUAACAUCGGUCGAUACAGGUCCCGAACAUCGAUGCCCGAAAGUGAUCACCUAGCUCGAAAUCAAGGCCGAGGUUCCAAUCCGAUACCGAGCUCGAGUCGGUAUUGAGUUCACAGACAAAAGCUGUUACAACCGUACCAAAGGAGAGAAUCUCUGCGGGAAUUAAGGAGGAGACGCACCAUCAUGGGUCCUCCACUAGUAAUAUUUAUUUCCAUCAUGUUACUAUAGAUAGAGUAGUGAUCUUUGGCUAUAAAGCCAAGGAGAGUUUGUAAUAGAAUGCACUUUUGGCUGGGAUUAAGAAUUCAUUGUGUUUAUCUUUCUAAAGCUCAUUAAAUAUCUUUGUUCAUCAUCUUCCAUUUUUGUAUCAUAAAUACGUGUAUUGUUAUUUUCAUAUCAAAGGAAUCUACUUGCCCUUAGAACCAUACAUAAAUUCAACGUUAUUCGAUUUUUCGGGUAAACAGUUUGGCGCCCACCGUGGGGCUAAGGAUAACAAGUGACUAUUUGACACAAAUAUACAACACGCUCCAGCUUACAACUUCAUAUCAACAAUGGCUCUGCCAAUCGACCUCGAAGCUGGCCUUCAGGAUGAAACCAACAAUGUGGUGCCCGUGGCCGAAAGGCUACCCAACAACGGCAAUGAGGAUCGAAUCGAGGAACCCGAAAUUCGAGCCGAAGUACCAGUAGAUAUCAAUUCACGAAUAGCUCUAAAAGCGAAUCAACGUUCCGAGCAGGAAAGAAGCGUUCAGGGUGGCGAUCGACCCAUAGCCCGAGACACCCACAACACGGGGGAAAUCGGGGUCAGCUUGCGCAUGAUUUUCGAAAUGCUACAAGCCCAACAAGUAGCGAUAGCUCAGUUGCAGAGCCAAACUCAUAUGCGAAGUAAUCCAAACUCCAAUCCACUUCUUAGAGAAGUAACCCCCAGAACGGAUCCCGACAAAGUGAAACCGAACGAGCAAAAAUCGGGAACCGCUCCUGAAAAUGCUAAAUUGCUCGAGGAACUCACAAAGCGAGUCGAAGCCAACGACAAAAAAUUUGAAACAUAUGAUGCUAGGAUCGAUCAGAUCCCGGGGGCUCCGCCCAUGAUGAAAGGGCUGGAUUCAAAGAAAUUCAUACAAAAGCCUUUUCCAUCGAGCGCGGCCCCGAAACCGAUCCCAAAAAAAUUCUGUAUGCCCGUAAUUCCCAAAUAUAACGGUACGACCGAUCCCAACGAACAUCUCACCUCCUAUACAUGUGACAUCAAAGGCAACGAUUUGGAAGACGACGAAAUCAAGUCUGUAUUAUUGAAAAAGUUCGGAGAGACCCUCGCAAAAGGAGCAAUGAUCUGGUAUCACAACUUGCCACCGAAUUCUAUCGAUUCUUUUGCCAUGUUAGCAGAUUCGUUCGUAAAAGCACAUGUUGGUGCCGUAAAGGUCGCAACAAGGAAAUCAGAUCUAUUCAAAGUAAAACAAAGGGGUGACAAAAUACUGAGGGAAUUCGUAUCCCGGUUUCAAAUGGAAUGCAUGGAUUUGCCACCAGUCACAGACGACUGGGCCGUACAAGCUUUCACCCGAGGGUUGAACGGACUGAGUUCGACAACAUCACGUCGGCUAAAACAAAGCUUGAUCGAAUACCCUGCAAUAACUUGGGCGGAUAUACACAAUCGGUAUCAAUCAAAAAUCAGGGUCGAAGAUGAUCAAUUGGGAUUUCCGUAUGAACCCACGCGUCAGAACCGCACAACCACUAAAAUUCUGAAGGAAACCAACAGAGAACAAAGGUCAAACAGAGACCGAUACCAACCGUACGUCACAGAUCGGGUGAACCACGGUUCAGCGCAUGAGAUAAUUAGGAAUAACCGCAGAUAUGAUCGGGGGCAAAAUUCUCGGGGGCUUAUGAGCAAGAGAGGUUUUGAUAAACAUGUCGAUCCUAUAGAAGUUCCUCGAUCGGAAUAUAACUUCAACAUCGAUGCAUCCGCCAUCGUAUCGGCUAUCGGACGCAUCAAAGAUACCCAAUGGCCUCGACCCAUGCAGACCGAUCCGGCCCAAAGGAAUCCCAAUCAAAUAUGCGAGCUCAAAAUGGUAUAUUGUUUUCAAAAAUACUUAAAUAUAUGUGUAUCUAUCCAAGCUCAAAAUGUUAUAUAGUGUAAUGGUAUUGCGUGCACCUUUCUAAGUGAGACUAUGAGUUCAAAUUUUAUGUCAUUUUAUUAUUUUUUCCUUCUUGUUUUCCUAGAAUUAGAUGCUCAUGGGAGAUGAGUAUAUCUGGUGUCACUUUUUGCGUACUAAUUAAGUACUUUUGUUUUCUUUGUUUGAUUUAUUCUUUCAAAAUGAUCACAUAUUGAAAUUCUUAUUCUUCAUUUUUUACCGUAUAAUCUUAUAAGUAUGAUUAAAUGAACGGUAAAGGGUCAAAAAUACCCUUUUACUAUCGACAAUUGUUUAAAGAUACCCUCCCUUAUACUAAUUGAGCAAAAAUACCCCUAUCGUCUUACUAUUGAAUAAAUAUACCCCCAAGUUAACAGAGAGGCCACGUGACAAUCAUUUAAGCUAUUUGAUCCAUCCGGAUUUAUAUUUACAGUAACCUGACCCAAUAUCCGGUACCCACCCUAAAAAUUACACUUAUUCAACCACUUUUAAAUAUGAACCUAACUUUUUGGUCCUUACUUCAUCUCCUUCGUUGAAGCCUUUUAUAUACAAAUGCACUUUUAAGAACUCAAGAAAUGAAGGUCCAUCUCUAUUUGCACGUCCACAUUGAUAAACCCAAGAAAAGAAAGAUUAAAUCUCCAUAAGAGUAAAAGAUAUAAACUGUUUAUAUUUCUAAUCACUUAGAUCUAGUUAUUGUUGGCAACUUUUUAGAGUGGUAAUGGAUGACGAAGGUGAGUUUCUUUCUCGCUAAUUAUCCAAAAAUCCGAAAAUAAACCAUAUAACAAUAAGAAGAAGAAAUCAACAGAAAUUCAAUCUGAGAAUUUAAUUGCUGAAAAAUUUGUUGAAGUAACAUCAUGAGGGAUGAACGGUGUAAGCUUGUGCAACCAUUAGAAUUCGGGAAACAUGUGGAGAAGAAGAGGUUAGCUUUGAGACCAAUUUAGAGUAAAAAUAAUGGAAAAGACAGUAGCACUGAAUUAUUUGAAAGUGUAAUGACAAGGAAUCCAAGAUCAACGGUCUAUGAAGGUUGAUUGGAAGAUAUUACAGAGUUCUUUGGUAGUAUGAUUUAUGAAGCCUUUGCAGCUAAAAAUCUGAAGAUAUGAUUAUGUUUUUCUGGAUUGAAGACUUGGGGAGGGGUCGUUGUGAUGUUGAAUAAGGGUUUAAUUUCUAGGGUGGAUACUUGGUCUGGGUCGGGUCGGUGUAAAAAUAAAUUUGAAUGGGCCAAAUGACUUAAUGACUGUCACAUGGCCCCUCCGUUAACUUGGGGUAUAUUUGUUUAAUAGUAAGACGAUAGAGAUAUUUUCGCUCGAUUAGUAUAAUGGAGGAUAAUUUUAAACAAUUUUCGAUAGUUUUUCGUUAAAUGAAAUGUGUAUAUUAAAGCUAGUAACAAUGGAUGAUGUAGCAUAUAGUUAAUGAGUUCAAUUUAUCCCAACGUUUUCGACAUGGAUUAUAGAUAUAGAUGUAAGAAUAUUACUUUCUAAAAAAUAAUAAGUUUGAACUUAUAUUUUCAAAAAUAUAAUGGAGGAAAUAGUGAGAACUAAAGGUUAAACCCGUAAAAUUUAUAUCCUGGAUUCACUUCUUCAUAAUAGUGCAAUCAUCUUCUCAAAAUCUUGGAUACACCUCUGUCCUCCUUUCUUGUUUUCCUUCUUCCUCCUCUUUCUUGCUCUUCUUCCAAAAACUUAUGAGCACACUAGCUAAAAUUAAAAAGAAUGAGAUGGGUUUGUAGAACAUUAAAUAUCCAUGGCUUAUUUGUAGUUGUAAUUGAGUGUGUAAUAUUAAAUUGAGCUUAUAUUGUCUAUCCCUAUUGAUUUUGUUUGAUUGAAGAAAAAUUAAAGAAUGUCAUUAUUAAAUUUGGUGAGCUUGAUAAUUUUUUGUUAAACAAGACAAAGUAGAUCUAUUAAUUUUUGAAUGUUAGAAUUUGUAUUAGAAAGUUGAAUAUCAAUUUUGGCUUCACUUGGAUUCGUGUCAUGACCCAAAACUAUGUGACCCGCACCCGAUACAUUAUCUGACCCGAGCGAACCAACCUAUAUGAUACACCCAAACCAUAUGUAUGAAAACCAAUUUAAUUGUAGAAACUCUUUGAAAAUCAUAUAUAUAUAUAUAUAUAUAUAUAUAUAUAUAUUUUCAAGUUAAACGAUGGAAUAUUUGCCCACUUCGACAAUGCAUGAAGCAUCUCAUUAUCAUAAAAAUAAGAUUAAGUAAAAUAAAUAUCUUUUCAUGUAUGUCGUGUACAAUCCCAUUAAUACAACACUUCACAACUAUCUAUGAAACCUCUAUACCAAAGAAUAGAAUUAAAUACUCGGGUUAAUGCCCGACUAACAUAAAUUAAGAAAAUAACAUUAUAGAGUUGUUAGCAUGCCGUAUAUCAUAUCUCAUCCUAAAAUAUGUAAAGUAACUAGGGCCCUGGAGGAGAGCCCCCGAGGUUUAGUACACCAAUGCGGUACUCAAUAAGUGUCAUAGAUUCUCUCUAACUCAAGUUCCUGGGAUAAAAUUUUACAAAAAACUAUGCAAUCAUCAUUUGACAUAAAGUGAUAAACAGUUAUAUAAAUCAUGCUCUUUAUCAUUUUAAAUAAAAGGCAAGUAAAAUGUAAGUUAUGCUAUAAAAUUUUAGAACGUCUCUAUCAACACAGGAUUUUUAUAGAAAUCUUAUAAAACCAUUUUAAUCUCAUUAAAUCAUUGAAAUCAUUUUUGGCUCCUUAGGCCUAAACAUAAGAAAGCUCUCUUUUACCUUUCACUGGGAGUGUUAUACCGACACCGACAUAAUGAACAACUAUUAGGUGAUCAACCUAGCAACAAGCAUUUGACCCUACUUGUCUGGGAGACUUCCCGUAGUGCCAUACGAGUCGACUUAGCCUCAUUGCUUUAAGUAAUGAUCAUUUUUCCUCUCAAUGUAGGACUUUAUCCCACAAACCUCAGCUUAGCCUUGGAAUGUGUCCUAACAUCGGCACGUGUAGUUCCAUGGUAACGAACUCAACAUUCGAACCAAUUUCAGUGGUCUCCACUAGUAACUCCCAAAAUAUUUAACAUAUCAAAAAUAGAUUCAUAGCAUAAUCUAUUUUUAUCAAAUCAUGAUUUUCAUAGCAAAUCCAAACUAUUUGAACAAAGUUAAAUGAAUAAGCUUUUUCAUGUUAAAACCUUUAGCAAUUUAACCUCAAUCUAAAGAUACAAAAAGUGCUACCUUUAUUGAAAUUUCCAAAGACAAGCUUAUUCAUGAAAUAUAUCUUUAGCACUCAAGCAUUUUAUCAAAAUAUAAGUUUUAAUAAAACUUAUAAUAUUUUCCUUAAGCGUCAUUUUGCUAACAAGUUCGAAAAUAAGAUUUUUAUAAAAUUACAUGAUACUUCAUAAGAAAUAAUUUAGAAACACAUGGUGACAUCUUUCCCGCUUGUCCCCAAAAGUACGAAUGCACAUUUACAAAUAAUAUAAUAUAUCAACUCAAGACAUGAUUUUAAAGAGAAUCCCUCAAGAAGAGUAAGUCUUAAUCAACUUACCUCAAACUUCAAGCUCCAAAAAUACUAUAAUUCUCUAAUUGAUUAAAAUGCCCAAAUAUCGCCAACAAUUCGACAUCUACCAUUAAAUAUGCUAACAACAUAAAAACAAACCCGAAAAAAUUCAUAAAUAUCUAUUUAGGCUUCACAAGCCGGCAACAAACCUUCAAUCAUUCCAAAUUAUUCAAUAGGUUCACCCAUUAGCCUAUUCAAAUUUAUUUUUUAUCAUUUAAUACCCAUUUGGAGUCAUUAAUGAUAUUACGUAAAUUACCCAAUAUCAUCAAGUCAUUAUUCAUUGCCUUCUCCAACAAAACUCUAGGUUCAAGAACCCCAAUUUCAAGAACUAGUGUUGUAUCUUAUCCAAAUGGUUAUUUUCACUUCAAUUCGUUCAUCAAUUAAGUUAUCAAGUCUAUUGGAAUCAUUAGAAACUCAAGAUAAUUUCAUUUAUAUCAAUUCAUUACUAUUCAUCUUCUUCUUUGUCCAAAAUAUCAUUCUUAAGACCCACCCUUAAGGUUCAUACAAUAUCCCAUUACAACUUCAAAUAAAAUUCAUAAACAUGCUACUCAUACUCUAAUAUGUCAUAUAUAUGAAGCUCAAGCGAAGGGAUUACCUCUUGGUGGAAGAAUCUCAAUUUUCCUCUUUUUGGUGUUCUUGAAGAUUCAACCUAUUUCCUAUAGAUUUGACCCACAAUAAUAUUAGUUUUAUCACUAAAUGAUGUUAUAUAAUCAUCCUUAUACCAAAAUAACUUACCUUGAAGUAUAUCCAUGGUGGAAGAGCUCCUCCUUUUCUCUAGAAAUCAAUUUUAAGUUGAAGAACUAACUCUUUCUAUCUCUAAACCCCUUUUUCAGCACUUUUUAAAAUGACCCCUAAAGCUACGCAGCCUCUCUGCGUAGCCUAUGCAUAAACCCUACUCAGGAGGCCUUCCGUUGGCAAAAUCUAGAAUUGGCUAUGCAGGUUGCGGAGCCUGUUGCGUAGCUGCACUACCACCUUUUGAUAAAAAGGUCAUAACUCCUUGUAGGAACUUCCAAACGAUGAAGUGUUUGAAACAUUUGAUAGGUCAUACACCAUAUAACACUUCAUAUCUUGAGAGUUAUACUCGUUUGAAAUUAAGUCUUGUGCGAACUCAUUUAAAACUUUAGUCCAUCAUAUAACUUCCAACUUGACUUAGCCUUAGGACUUUUUUUUAGACCAUAAACUGUUUAUAAUAUACCUCAUACACAUAUUAUCAUGUUCAAAUAAUAUCAUUCAUAUCAUUAGCCCUUGCUCACACGUAAAUUAAUAUAAUUAGCACACGUCGAUCUUCUUUAAAGCCUUUAAACAUUUCAAAAUUUUCGGGGUUUUACAAUUUGAUUUUGACCAAAAUUCUGUUAAUUCGUCUAGACUUUAUAGCCAAAUUUUGGCGAUUCGUCCCAUCCGUCAGGAUUUGAUCAUAAAUCUCGGCAAUCCUUCUGGAUUGUGGCCGUAGCCAAAUUGUGAUGAUUCGUCCCACCCGCAAGUUUUUCCCAUCAAUUCUAAAUUCUGGCGAAUCGACCUAAUCCUGGUUGGAAAUCUGUUAUUUUGCAAAACCUUUCUUAAAUGAAGUCAAAAUUCAAAUAAUGGCACUGAAAUAAAGAAUUCAAUAACUUUGUGUUCCUGUUAAACAUAUACUUAAUAUGUUUCAACUUAUGUGGACAUAUUUUCUUUUUAGUUCGUGUAAAAAAGAAUGAUGACUUUCCAUAUUUAAAAAUAAUUUACCUUUAUGCAACGAUUUAUAGUUACACUAAAUAUAUGUGCCUUAUUUUGUACCACAAAUUUAAAAAUCUUCUCAUUUUUUUAAAAUUUUAUAUUCAGUCAAAUAGGUUCAAAGGAGAAAGUUUUGCUACAAAAUUGAAUCCGCACGUGGUCCCUCUAUCUGUAUUUGCAGCCAUCGGGUCUCUUUCACGUCAAAGCCAAUCAAUUUCCAUUUAUUCCUCAAAGCCGCGUAGGUGGAUCUUGUCCAUCACUUUCACCAAUCGUACAUUCUGCCCUGUUUCUUUUUCAUUGAGAUGGAAUUAACAUGGAUAGUAACUAUUCAAGUUACCUAUUUCAACUUGUUUGAAGUUGAAAUUGAGGAGUAGAUUUUAUUGUUGUUGGUGUUAAAUUACAACCCUUCAUUCUAUUUAUAUCUAUAGCAGAUGUUCUGCAAGCUGCAUCAUUAUCGUUUGGUAUAAUAUAUAGUAAGAAUUAUGGUAAUUAUAACUUUAUCCCAUAUUUGGUCUAAAUUUUGAUUUACCCUGUAUAAAGUUAUACACCAAUUUUGGUUUAACUUCGUACUACUAUCUAAUAUGGAAUAACUAAUCCAUGUAUAACUUAUACAUGGAUAAAAAAUAAAAAAAAGACAAUUAUCCAUGGCCAAUAAAAGUAAGCAUCCAAGGGUAUAAUUGUAAACUCAUUGCUUUUUAAUUAAAAAUAAAUAAAUAUUUUAACUAAUAUCUUGUAUAUUCAGUUUUAGUGCAAUACACCAAACACCCAACAAGAAAUAAUCUUUGUAUAACUGAUCCAUAUAUUACUAAUUCCUACGUAAGAAUUAUAAUUGUUUGUUAGAUCGGUUGUAAAAAUACUUAUUGUGCAAACAUUCAAUUCCGUGACAUAAUCACUGGGCAUUGUUUUGUGAAAGCGUCUGUUAUUCAACUAUCCAUGAUCUUUAUUUAUGAGCUCUAGGGCAUUUAUUCCAUGUAAUCCAGAGUGUAGUCACAAGCAUUAGACGCAACAAGAAAAAAUGGUAGGUUCAUGUAAAAUUUAGUGAGAAGUAAUAUUUUCAAAAAUUUAUAUAUCGGUUGUUACAAGGACCUCAACCUGAGUUAAAAUCUAAAAAUAAAUAAAAAUUUGCGGGCCUUAGCUUCUCUUGUCAUUCCCUACCUGCAGAAAUGGAGAAGAAAAUUCCUCUUUAGAUGUUUAAUGUACAACACACACUCCACAUCAAGAGGAUCCCAUAUACUAAUUCUGGAGCUUGCUUCAUUCCCCCAGGCCUUCAAAAAGAACAUGGGAACCUUAUUUGUUUGUGGAAUGCAGGAUCAUCUCUUUGGUGAAUGUCAACAUCCUUAAAACAACUAAGUCGAAGCUUCACCCAGGAAUAUUUCAGAACUGAUGCCAAUUUCUCCUUCUGGAGGUCGUCGUUUCCUCCCCGUAAUCAAUCAAAAUUAAUACAGCUAAGUCUAACCAAUCACUUGAAUCUAAUUCAACCUUAAAAAUAUCAAAAAUUAAUUCACAAGCAAUCUGAGGCAAAAGAUAGGCGCUUUGCAGUGAGAAGAUCACCCAUCCAUUCAUUCAUACAUCACUUGCCGCCCUUCAUAUGUAGGUUUCUCAUCCCGACAUUGACCUUUUCCACACCAGAUUCACUCUUCACCUCUGUUUGGUUUAGACUUUUAACGUUGAGCCAUGGGUGUUGCACGCACUGCUGAGCUGUUGGUCGAUUCUCUGGCUCAAAAUCAAGAAGGGGACAAAGAAAUUUGGCUAAUUCAUGGGCAUCAAUUUCAGAAAAUCUAAAUUUGUCAAUAAGUAAUUUUUCUAAAGACCCGUGCUUCAGCCUCCGGAUCCUCUUCAAAUCCCCAUAUUUGUCAAAGUAAUCUUUAGAGCGAGCCCCACCAUUGGCUAUCUGCUUUACCAACGGUAUUUAUCAGAUAUGAUGUCAACGAUUACUUGUCAAAAGAAUUCUUACAGGGUCACGAAAGCAAAACAAUGCGCUCACCUUCCGGGGCAUCUUUCCUAGAAGCUCCAUCAUCAUAGCAAGGUGAUCCUGAAACCAAAAAAGAUACUAAGAAAUACAUACAAGUGCUGCUUGUGAAAAACUUUUGAUUGUGCAAUAAAAUCCAUUGGAUAACUCCACUUCACAUGUAUAAAAAAAGCUGAUCUUAGAUCAAAAUAAACUUCGUAAACAUGUUAAUAGAAAGUGAGGGCCUUCUGCCCAUUCCAACCAUCCAGUGAUCCCCCAGUUCUCCUAGCUAAGAAGACGGAUAACAUUGAAACAAAAGGAACUGAGCACAAUAGUAACACCGAAAGAACAGGGUCAAAAAAGGGAUAGAUGAAUUUUUCCUACCUCAUCUUCACUGAAACCUUGUCCACCUUUGGGUGUGAACAUCAUCUCCCCAGUAGCAAGCUCAAAUACAAUACAAGCAAAAGACCACAUGUCAGCAGAGAAUGAAUAUCCAGACUGAAGUAUAACUUCUGGAGCUCUAUACUGCCGUGUUUGAAUUUCUUGUGCAAACUGCUUAUCAGCCCAGCAUGCAUUUCCAAAAUCCACAACCUUGCACCUUAGGUCAAUUCCAUCAAGACUUCUAUUUGCUUUCGCACCUCCCCCCACCCCACCCAUUGAAGCUCGUCUAUUAGAUAUCCUGGCUGCUGCCCUCCUUGCCCUUUGUUUUAGCUUUUUCUCAAUAAUAUUCAUUGUUGUUCCUCCAUUUGGGAUCCCUUCAGGCCUUUCAAGUAUCGGCGCUGUUCCCGAUCUAAUUGGAUCCUUUGUGGCAUUAAUCGUGGAAAGUAAAAGAACAUUUUCAAGUUUUAGAUCUGUAUGAAUAAGUCCAAGUUCCCUGUGCAAAUAAUCUAGACCAGUUAGAAUGCACUUGCAUAUUUCCCUAACUUUGUUCAGUUCAAGGCCUUUAUAACGAUUAUAUUUGACGAGGUGCAAUAAGCUGUCACCAAGAAAUUCAAGGACCAUGCAUAAAUGCUGUCCAUUUGGACCUGUAUGCUUAAAAUGGUCAAUAAGUCUAACAACAUAUUUACUAUUAGAGGGAUCACCGUCGGCGAUAGCAGAAAGUAUUUCAAUUUCGUGAAGAGCAGCUUGAGCAAAUUGUGGCGCACUUUUCUGGAUCUUCAAGGCUACAAAUCCCUACCCAAAACAAAUUUAAGUAUAUUAGACUUCAUAGUCCACCAAGAAAACAAUUCAAAAAAUCUGUAAGACUUCAAAACCAUCCACAAUGAGAAUACACAAAAGGAAAUCUACGGCACAUUCUUGUUGGAGAUAGAUUUGAAACCAGAUGUUUUUGAAGCUUUUCAUCGCCUACUAGGUGGCUUACCAUUAGAUAGACAAUGAAUAAAAAUAUUCUCCAAAGAAGAGCAAUUCUAUGUGAUUAUUCUACAUAAAUAAAAAAAUAUCCUUGAACUUCCAUGACGAAGGAAGCUAAUGGAUUGAUAUUCUAGCUCAGAAAAAUAUCCUUGAACAUAUGUUGGCUGUUGACUCCAAACCAGGUCAAAUGCCCCCCAAAAUAAAUGCUUUUGACUUGGAAACAUUCAAACUUCUCAAAUUAAAUUGUAGCUCUAUAGAGCUCAGAAUAUUUCAUUAAAAUAAAUCAUGAAACAUUUGGAGAUAAAGUUCAUUCCAAGCAUUUUUUACCCUUUAUGAUGGGCCAUAGGUCCCCAAACAGUGUUUUAACUGCAUGCACAAAAUUAUCCUCAGCAUCAAGGACUUAAAACUGCUGCUUGCGUAAGAGAUCUCACAACUUGAAAAAGAGACCUCAUAUAUGUAUCACAUUCAUCACAAACAAAAGCAUAUAUAUACCAAGUCUGACACCAUAAAGAACUGGCGACAAUGGUAAUGAUUAAAAGCCUAAAACUGAAUGGAGAUUAUUUCACUGUGUAAGCAGUAACAGACAUAUACUUGCUCAACCUGGUUGGUAUAGACAAGAAGCGUGAAGAGAAAGAAAAGAAAAGGAACCCUACUUGAGGCCUAGUGUAAUAACACUUCAGCUUUGUUAGGAAAGUCGGGGAGGGUGUCAAGUAACUAUCACCAAACAUAUAGAGAUGCAAAAACAUGUAAUACCAUCCAAAUAAACAAGAAGAUAGGUAAGGCUGAACCUGAUCAAAGUGGAUAAGAAAAAUAAUUAGGAAUAGGCAUUCCGCAUUCGGAUAUCUUGAAAUGCAGCAUAAGGUAGCAGAGUAGCAUAUGUUUGUGUGUCUUUCGGGGGGAAAGGGGAAACAUUGCCCUUGGAGAUCCUGACAAAAAGUCCUGUGCAACAACUCAGUAGCCAGAAUGCUACAAAUUUGAUCUCCAAUGUCCGACUUCAAAUCCCUGGCUGCUGCCAACUGAUCAAUCGACCAAUCAACUACUUCGCAAUCCUAAACUGGUCGGAAUCCACUAUACAAACCCUGUGUAUCCAUUCCGCUUUUUCUCCUAAAUCAGUAUCCAUCAUAGUUGGACUAUUUUUACUUUAGCUAUUGAUCUACGGCGACCUUCCUCCUUUAAAAAGGUCUAAGAGAGUAAGAGUAGCUCUGAUUUGUGGAACUCAAAUAGGUAGAGCUUCCCUCAUUAGCUCUAUUUUGGGAAAACAAAAUAGAACAGAAACGAUCUGGAAAAUAUCAGACAUCCAAACUAGUUGUUUGCUUUUGUAAUUUGUAUCUCCCAAAAAAGAAACUAGGGAAAACCGAUAGCAAUAUAAAAACUAAAUACUCACUCCUCUCAUUCAACUUGCUCAAAUAGAAUCCUCUACGACAAAAAUUCUUAAUGAAUUCAACAUAUAUCCACCGAUGGUAUCAGGUCGCAUGUACCGUUGUAGCAGGUAACUUGACUUAUUUCAAGUUACAAGUACCACUUUUUGUGGAGGGUUACUUGUAAAUAUCUCUUAAGAAACCUGAUAGUGUAAAAAUUUGUUUAAGCUGUCCCGUAUAUAAAACUCAUUCUUAAUUAACAUGUGGCAGUUAUUAUCCACCAAUUGAAAGGUACGAUUACUGAAUCAAGGUGUGAUCCAAUUUGAUUAAUCAUAGAGAAAAGAAUAACUAUAAUCGGUUGCAUAUUCCAAAUUGCAGUUCACUGAUAAAUGCAUCUCUAGUAAUGACUUAGCCACAAACAAAGACGAUCUUCAUCACUUAAGAUUAAACCUUAGGUCACAAAACUUUUCACUAAUCGUGAAAUAACAAGAGCACUAACGAUCUCAAAUAAGCAUAUAUUUUGAUGAACUCACACAAAAUCUGUGUAAAACAAAAUCACGGAAAUGAAAUGAAAUGAAAAGAGGAAAGAGUACUAAUCAAUAAAUUUCUUUUUAAUCAAAAAAGGAAGAAUUUUUUGAAGGAAUAAAAAAGACUUACGGACGAUCGAGUAUCGUAAGCGAGCCAAACGGUGGAGAAUUCACCCCAGCCGAGUUUUCGCUGAGCGAUAUAUCGGCCGCCGGAGAAUGAAUCGCCGAUUCUCACCGCAUGAUAUCCUCCUUUUCUGUAUGAAUCCAUUCCUUCAUCUUCAUCUUCCGAUGCCGACGAUGACGACGGUGAACAUGACAUGGUCGGUGAAUGGAUCAAGCCUGAUUUACACACAGUGCGUGUGAUCUACAAAAUUACUAAAUAUGUUUAUCGUUUGAUUUGAUUGAUUCUUAAAUUUGAUGAUUUUCGAUUAGAGAAGAAGCAAAGUAGAAUUCUCGUGGAAAAAGCUUUAAGAAUGAAAGGGACAGUGCGUUAAUGAGGGGUAUAUGUGGCCUUCAUUACCAUAUUCUCUCCACUUUUUCCUCUUUUCCUCUUUUCCGCCUUCCCUAUAAUUUUCUCUUUAUAUGCUACUAAUUCGUUUCAUCUUUUAUUCAAAGUUGCGACUUUUUUUGUUAAUUGAAUUGGAACAUCCAAAGUUUAAUUAAUACUACAAGCUAACUAUAGUAGACUAACUAUCCAUUUUACUUGAUUUGAAAACAUUUUAUUGAAAUAUGUAAUUACUUACUCAAUUCACUUUUACAUGUCCAUUAUAUUAAAAGACUGUUUGAAAGUGUUGAAAAUUAUUUGUAAGUGUUGAAACUGAUAUUUUAAAUAAGCAUUUAUGUGUUUGGAUAGAAGUGCUACAACUAAUAAUAAGCAGUUGAUAUAUUAAGUAAAACAAUGUUGAUAAACUAUUCUUAUGUUAAAAUGACUAAAAUACCAUUAAAAACUCUACAAAAGAUUAUAAACUAAAAAGUUCUUUUUGUAAAGAAAAUGAUGAACAACCAACAUGGAAUGAAGAAAAGGUUAGGAAAAAGUAUUGUGAAUUAAAAUUAUUAUUAAAGAUAAAUUAGUAAAAAUCUUGCUCAGACUAAAAGUCUUAUAAGCUCAAAAAUCAUAAGUUGGGGGUGACCAACUUAUGAUUUAUGACUGAUUUUAACUUAUAAGCACGGUACAUACGUCAAAAGGUGCUUAUAAGCUUAGCCAAAUAGCCUCUAAAAAUAUAUUUCACUUUUACUUGUCUAUUUUAGCAAAUCAAAAUAAACACAACCUUUUGUUUUCAUGUUUUUCCCUUAUAAUUAACUACUCAUUCCCCGAAUUAUUUUUCAAGAUUUUUUCAAAUACUAUUAUUAUUAUGGGUAAAAUUAUAAAUUACAUGCUUCAUUAUUUUUUUAAAGGAAGUGCAAAGUCAAAAGUAAAUGAUAAAAAUAAUCAGAAGGAGUAUUAAGGUUCUUUUAACACUAAAAAAUUAAUUUAUUUUCUAUCGAUAUAUAAAUUUUUACUAGUAUUUCUUAUUGCAUAUGUGAAUUUUUUUCUAUUAUUUCACUAAAUUUACAUGGAUUUCAAGAGAUGAUAGGUUUUUGUAUACAACUUCUUUUCAUGUCAUUUUAUGUAUACCUCGUUUCGCUUUUAACAUAUUCAGUUAUUCAUGGUUCUAUACAUAGAAAUUGAUGCUUUCCAACAAAAACAGUAUAAUACCUAACCAAGUUAUCUCAAACGAUUAUUAUUGGUUAAAAAGUACCAUGAGUUUUUGCUAUCUCAAAUAAUAGAAGUUGCAAUGUUGGGAACGUCUAGGAAGUAAAAGUUUCCUUUUUGUAGAUAAUGCAUUUUCACUCUUUUUCUACUUUUAUGAUUUGCCAUAUUAGAGGAGUUUUUGGAGGGUGGGGGAGGGUUGAAAAGCAGUGGCGUGCGUUAGGUAUUUGCGUUAGAAUUAGUUGAGUUAGAGUAAUCAUUUGUUGGGGGGAAGUCGUAAGAUUUGAGAACUCAGCCAACUGCCAAAUUGGGCAUUAAUCUAAUAUGAGAAAAAUGAUGUUCAUCAUCCCAUUAAUCCCAUGCGAGACUUGGUAGAUUUGAUAAUUUCCUCCACGCAACUAAAAGUUAGUUGUUUAUCUCUUAGUAUAUAUUUGUGGCCUUACUUUUUGUUUAAAUCAUUUAAAGUUGUGUUGGACAAUAUUAUAAUGUCUCCCGUUGAUUUGGAGGGUGAUCAUUCAUAUAGAUGACCUGAGACCGAUCCCCCCUCAAUGCCUUCUGGGUUGAGCUUGUCGCACCCUUACCCAAUGCGCACAGAGUGCUCAUCCGAAGGGCAGGGGUUGUAGCGGCGGCGAAUUUUUCUGGAAGUUUCCAAAAAAAAAAAAAAAAUUAUAAUGUCAUGUCAAUAUCCUAUCAUAUACAGAAAAGCUAUAUUGUAUAACCUUCUUUUAUACGGAAGAAAAUUUGAUUUUUUAAAAGUUCAACUUCUUAAAUUACUUUUAUUUUAAUGAAGUGUCAAUUCUAAUAAUGAUGCAAUAAGAAAGUAGGAAUUGAAAAUUUGGGAUGAGAGAAUAUUUUUAUUGUCUUUCACUUUCUGUAUAUUAAUUUAUAAUGUUUGGAUAAUGUUUAUAAUAGUUGGGAAUUUUUCUUUUGUCCUUUUUCUAUCUUGUUAUGCCAAUAUAUAAAAGAAUUGGUCGUUAAUUUUAGUAAUAAAGAGAGAAAGCACCUUGUAUUAAAAAAACACGUAGUAGUAUUAAAAUUUGUGUAAACAACAAAAGUUAAAGUGAAAAAUGGAACUUAGUGCGAUGUAUGACUAGUUUUUUUAUGUAUGAUGUAUGCAUGUAAAAUUUGAAUCUCCAAAUUUUCUUACCACAAAAUGAUAGACUACUCAAUCUUAUUAUGGUCGAAAUUACCGUUUGACCCAAAAAAAUUGAUUUUGUCUCUCCCAAUUAGAUUUAUUUAAAGAAAGGUUAAUCUUAGUUAAAAAUAAUAUCCAAAGAUGGAGCUACGUGUGUCAAAACCAAUAAAUAAUGUAUCAUAUCCGGAUGUAAUAAAUAUGAGCCGAAAUAGUGAUAUUCAAUGAUCUAAAAAGAUGAAUAUGACAUUAAAUAGUAAUAAAUGACAUUCAGGUAAAUAAAUCGUAUGAGUCACUCAUAAAGGGAUGAGAUCAGUGAAUAUUCUUCAUGACAAUGAUGAAUGAUUGAGAAACCUUUUGAACCUUCGUGAUGCUCUUGGAUCAGGUAGAAAUAUCGGACAAGAAUCUUGGUAAAAAGGUUAUUUUUGUAUAUAUGCGAUAAGACUAGAUUCUCUCUUACAAAGUCAAUGUAUUCUUUACAAAUCUCCACCCUCCCCCCUCCCCCCCCCCCCCCCCAUAAUUGUGUCUUUUUCUAUUUAUAGGGAACAUGUUCGUAAAAACCCUAAUAGUACAAGUGCAGAGAAUAUAUACUAGAAUAUUCUCUUUAAUGUCCUAUCUUGAAACUAGCUGUUAUAACUCUGUCAAGGAUAUUCGACCUCAGCCUCGAUCCUUGAUGACUCCUCGAUCUCAGUCCUUGCUGACUCUUUGACCACGACCUUUAUUGUUCCUUAAACCAAUUCGACAUGUGGCGGCCUCAAAAUGUUUCGCUAAUGCUAUCCGGACUUAAGUGUUCUAGAGAUAGAUUUUGACAUAUACAGUUCGUCUCUCCGACUUUGCGGGCGGGUUCGAUGAGCGGAUCAUGUUAUUGGUGGUCGAGCUAAUCAAGCGGACUACACGGGUUGUGGUUGUUACAGUGAGCAGGCGAUGUAUCUCUCUGUGGGCCGCACAUUUCAAAUGCUUCGAAUUUUCCGGGUGAUUUGCUGGAGUUAUAUUGUCCACGGGUUAGGAUGACGUCAUGCGUCAUAAUGGUGCAUAUUCCCGAUGUGUCGCUUCAUUUCGCGUGUGACCUUUGAUUAGACCUGUCGCUUCGGUUUCGGUGCCAAUCAUGAUGAACUAUUUUGGGUUGGUGCCAUGACUUUUAUAAACAGAGAUCCUUGAACUUGAUUUUGGAGUUUAAACCCUCUAAGGUUUCGAAACACCACACCUUUCUCUUGCUCUCUUCUUCUCCGAAUUUCUUUUCUCUGUUUCAUUGACCUAUAAGGUUCUACUAUGUUGAAUCAUGUCUAACGUAUCUUCUGAUGCUGGUGAGGGGAGUCAUGUUGCUCCCUUGGCAGUGGUGUUCCCCUCCCAUGGGGAGAGCGUUUAUGCUAUUUUUGAGGAUGAAACCUUCCCGUCGGGGGAGGAAAUAAUCCCGCAUAAUCCUGAAUCCAGGUCAGACCUUACCAAAGUACCAGACGUCGCACUUAGAGUCUUUAAAUCAACAAUGACGCCUAAGGAAUUGGUGGAACUUAAGGCCAAAUUCAGCUUUCUAAACCAUGUUGAGGUGAUCCCGGCUGAGGGGGACGUAGUACAGGUCCAUCACUCUAGGUACUGCGCUCUUUAUUCCUACUACUUCCUCAUCGGCUAUUCUUUUCCCCUACUCCUACUAGUGGAGGAAUUUUGUCGUCAUUACAGUGUCUGCCCGACUCAGCUUGCACUGUACGUCUACAAAGUGAUUAAGAUGUUGACCUAAUUCUCCGAGCUGGCUGGGAUCGAGCUAGCGCUACGGCACUUGAUACAUCUAUUCGCCCCUGGCUUUUAUAGGGGGGCGAUGAUGUACCUUUGCCACCAAGGAGGCAAAUAUUUGGUGGUGAAGAUGGACUACAAAUCUAAUCGUCAGUUCUGGCUUAACUUCUUCUUCGUCAGGACCGAGGACGUCAUGGCCUUUCCUAAAACUUCGAACUAUACUCGUGAGUGCCCUGUUUCUUUCUACGUUUGUUUGGUCCUAAAUUUUGAUUUUUUUACUUUUCUCUUUUGCAGCCAACGGCCAGCCUCCCCCUUUGUCUGCUCACAUCUCUGACUAGGUCGAGCGACUCCUCCCUCACAUCGUAAGGAUCCGUGAUUGGACAAGUUUUUUCAAGAAAUUCAAGCCUGCUCUCCCUUCGACUGGUAAUUUCUUUUCUUUGAUCGUGGUUGUUCCAUUUCCUAUUGUGUAUGGAUUUGUUUUGCUAAAUUCAUGUUGUCUUUUUCUCAGGCAGGGGAUCUUCUCGGAGGUGUCGGGUACCAGUGCCAUUUUUUCGAAGGACGGUUGCUGCAUCUUCGGCUUCCAUUCCUGUUGCGCCUACUACGUCUUCUGUACCGGUCUUAACCUCAACUUUCGUAGUUCGACAGCCCGUCUCCGUUCCAUCUACAACUUCUGCUCCCCAACUCUUUUCACUAGUUGAUGAGGACGACGUCUCUCCUGAUAGUAGUGGUCUAAUGCCUCAUAAGAGGAGAGUCGUAGAUACGGGGGGGAGAGAGGCCGUCAGCAUUGAUGUGGGAGAUUGUGACUUUGUUCUUCGAGAAAUGGUCACAGUGCAUAUUGGAGAGAGCCCUGAGGCAAGUCCUGAGGCCCCUCACUUGGAGGAAAUAAGCACGCGUUCUGUGAGGGACACAGCCGAUGGCGAGGUGUAUAAUGACGGCCCUACACUUCCGAGGCGCAAGGAGGCCUCAUCUUCCAGUCGUGGUGGACGUCCCUUCUUCGAUAGAUGAUAGAAGGAAGGUAGUCACUGAGGAGGACGUUGGAUCUAACUCCGACAUGGAUAUGGACGAGUUGAGGAUGAUCGAUAACAGACUCACUCAACUCGAAGUGAGGUUGGAAGGGGGUUCAAGGACUAUUGCGAUCCCGAUGGAUCGUAAUCUACUUGUAAACACCAAUGAAAUAGUCCCUACCAUUGGUCCUCUUUGAUCUGAAAUUGAGGGUACGACCUUCGAGAUGAUAGAUGAUAGCAAUUUGUCUAAUAACAUUGCUGGCCUUGCUCUCCGAGUAAGUAUAACUGUCGACCGUUCUUUUCAUUUUGUUUUGCUUUCUUUCGUAAGCUCUAAUUUCAUUUUGUAGAUAGUUAUUUUGGAGAUCGAGAGUGCUCGUCGGGAGCAGAAACGUAAAGAUAUUUACGUGAAGUUGAAAGACAUGUAUUUUAAAUGUCUUGAAAAGUAUCGGGAGUACCAGUGUCGGCUCCGCGAGGGUGGCAAUGUACGCCAGCUGAGGGAGGAUUUGAAGGAGAGGGACGAGGAUUUAAUGCGGGUUGUGGAGAAAUGCAGCAUCUUAGAAGAGAUUUUGAGGGCAAAGGGGCGGAUCUCGAGCUUAGCAGGGGCGUAGAAGCCCAAUGUAGUGAUCUCCAAGCCCAAGUGGUCCUGCUGCAAGGCCAACUCAAAGAGUGUCAGUUCAGGGCGAAGGAUCUUAGUGACGAGUUGCCGAGAAGCAAGAGGAGCUAGAGAAGGCGGAGUCUGCUCGGUCGGAAGCUCUGGGGAGGGCGGAGUCCCUUGAAGUGGCGAUCCGAACUCUUUGUUCUGAGCGAGAAAAUGACUUGUCGACGGCAAGGCUUAAAGAAUAGUGUCUUGAUGAAAGGAUUGGGAAGUUGGAGAAAGAAACCUCUGACCUUUAUAAUCGGGUUGCUGCUCUGGAGGCUGAGAAGGCCAAACUACUUGAUCAACCUUCUUUAUUUGCGGGUUCUGGCUUCCCCAACGUUCCUUACGAGUUGUAUGAAGAGUGGAUUCAUGCUGAGGUCUGAUUGGAUGUGCUUCGUGAGUUACAUGUAGCGGGCUCCGUUCCUGCCACAUACUUUGAGGAUGCUCGUGUCAAGCCUCGCGAUGCUCGGAUUGCUGGUGGCUAUAAUUCGACUACUCCUCGUCAUGGUGAGGAUGCCAUAGAUCACCUCGAGGACGAGGCCUGGUAUGAUUCCAUAUACCCUUCGGGCGAGGAUGGAGAGGGCGUUGAGGGUCAGACCGAUGAAGGUGUCACGGGUCGUGAUGGUAGUGAUCAACAGUAGUUCUUUUUUGCUUUUUCUGAAGUUUUUGUGUAUUUUUGCUGGCAUCUUUAAGAGACUUUGUAAGAAACCUUCGUUUAUAAUAUCAAAGUUGGCUUUUGCUUUUAUUUGCACCUUUCUUAUUUGUUGUGGUUUAUUUCUAUACUUUGCAUGUUUUUCUCCUUCAUGCUUUUGUCAUUGUCCUUGUAUAUUUCAAAUUUUAUCGGAACGAGGCCGAGGAUUAAUAGGCAUUAUUCGAACUUGGUCAAAUCUUAACCUCUCUAAAUCGCGGACGAGGGCCGGUAGGUGUUUUUCAUACUUAGUCGAACUUAUCUUUUAUUAAUCUCGACCGAGGGCUGGUGGGUGUUGUUCGAACUUGGUCGAACUUAUCCUUUUAUUAAUCUCGGUCGAGGAACGGUAGGUGUUGUUUGAGCAGGGUCAAACGUGACCUUGUCUUAGUCAUGGUCGAGGUCCAAUAGGUGUUGUUCGAGCGGGGUCGAAUAUAACCUUUUCAUAGUCAUGGCCAAGGGCCAAUAGAUAUUAUUCGAGCGGGGUCGAACAUCACCUUUUCAUAGUCGUGGCCGAGGGCCGAUAUGUGUUGUUUGAGCGGGGUCGAACAUGACCUUUUCAUAGUCGUGGUCGAUGGCCGAUAGCUGUUGUUCAAACGGGGUUGAACAUAACCUUUUCAUAGUCAUGGCCGAGGGAAAAUAGGUGUUGUUCGAGCGGGGUCGAACAUAACCUUUUCAUAGUUGUGGCCGAGGGCCGAUAUGUCUUUAUGAUGAAUGUACGUUUCUUAUUACUUUGAUGUUGCUGCUCUGAUUACAUGAUUGGAGAGAGUUACAGAUUUUUUGGGCAUUGGCUGGCAUUCCAGUCCCUAGUCCUAGUCUAUCUAGUCCCUUCAUUGCUUGACUUGGAGAAUUUUGAGGAGUUGGGAAAUGAAAGAGAAAAAAUAGCCCCUCCCUCGCAUACUUUGACUCGAAGCGUUCCUUUUACCGCCUCGUUAAAAACCUCCUUGAGAAAACCCUAAUGGGACAAAACUCAAGUGAGGGAAAAAGAGUGCGGGUAGGGGGCACAUUUUCUCUUAGAAGUUGAAGUAUUUGAGGUGACUCAUGUUCCAAUUGUUUGGUAAUUAUUUUCCUUCCAUUAUCUCUAAUUGGAAUGAACCCUUGUUUGCUUUGGCUGUGAUUUUAUACGGACCGUCCCAGUUUGUUCCUAGCUUGCCUUCUCGUGGGUUUUUGCUCGCUUGAGUUUUGGCCUUGAGUACAUAGUCCCCAACUUUAAGCGGCCGGACCUUUGCUUUCUUGUUAUAAUAACGUUUUGCUUGCUGUUUUUGGGUGACCAUCCUUAUGUACGCCAAAUUUCUUCGUUCAUCAAUUUCAUCGAGUUCCUGCUUUCUACUCUCAUCAUUACCAGUACCGCUUUUGUGGGAGUAUCUUAGAUUGCACUCCCCGACUUCGACUGGUAUAACUGCUUCAGUCCCACAGACCAAAGAGUAGGGUGUCUCUCAUGUGCUCGUCUUUGGGGUAGUUCUAUACGCCCAUAAUACUUCUGGCAGUAUCUCCGGCCACAGUCCUUUGGCGUCUUCGAGCUUUAUCUUCAUGAUGUAAAAUAUGGACUUUUUGGAGGACUCUACUUGUCCAUUACCCGCUAGGUGAUACAGGGUCGAUAGUAUCCUCAUGAUAUGCCAUUUCUUGAAAAAUUCAACGGUUUUCUUUCUCGUGAACUAGGAUCCGUUGUCGUAGUUGAUUUCUUUAGGUAGGCCGAAUCGGCAGAUGAUAUUCCUCCAUAUAAAGGUGAUUACCUCGUGUUUCUGUAUUUGGGUGAAUGCUCCUGCUUCCACCCAUUUAAAGAAAUAGUUAGUUUAAACCAAAAGGAACCGUAUAUUACCUCGCCCUGUUGGGAGGGGGGCCAUGAUGUCCAUUCCCCAUUUGAUGAACGGCCACGAGGAGGUGACUGAGUGGAGGUGUUCGCCUGGUUGGUGAUUCAUUGGGGCAUACUUUUGGCAUUGUUCGCAUUUCCUCACAAAGUCUAAGGCGUCCUUUUUCAUGGUGGGCCAAUAGUAUCCUGCCCGUAUGAGGCAUCUAACGAGUGCUCGAUUGCCGGAGUGAGCACCGCAAUUGCUUUCAUGGACUUCUUCGAGGACGCGUUGGGUAUGGUUAGGGCCAAAGCAUUUUGUUAGAGGGCAUCCGUAAGUCCUCUUGUACAUGUCGCUAUGGAGGAGACUGUAUCUGGCUGCUUGCAUUAUUAGUUUUUUGGCUUCUUUUUUGUCGUUUGGGAGUGUGUCGUCCUGCAAAUAGGCAAUAAUACGAUUGUGCCAAUCCCAAGUUAAGCUUAUGGUUCUUACCUUGAUUUGGUCUAGUGAUGAGUUGAGGAGGUGGACUACACUUUUAUCUUCGGCCGUGAUGCUUUUGGUAGAUGCGGCCAACUUGGUGAGGCCGUCUACUUUGGCAUUCUGCGCACGCGGGAUCUGGUCGAGCUGUCAUUCGUCGAACUCGGGCAACAGCAUACAGAUCUCGGUCUGUUAUUUUUGCAAUAUUUGUUCUUUGAUUUGGAAAGUCCCUGUAACUUGGUUAACCACGAGUUGGAAAUUGCAGUGGAGUUUCAACCGCUUCGCCUCGUACUUGAGUGCUAGUCUCAAUCCUGCAAUUACGGCCUCAUACUCGGCCUUGUUAUUAGUCAUCCGGGCACCUUAUGGACUGUGAAUUACUUCGCCUGUAGGAACCUUGAGUACGAGUCCUAGUCUGGACCCCGAAGCGUUGGAUACGCCAUCAGUAUUAUCACGACCCCAAGUUCCCUCCGUAUGAUGUCGUGACGGCACCUAGACUCUAAGACUAGGUAAGCCUAACAACAUGUGAAAUAAUUGAAGUAUAACUUAAAAUCUCAAAUUUCAUCAAUUACAUAAAUAAAAUCUAUAACUCAAUAUGUACAACUCUCAAAACAUGGUGAAAUAUAAGUCACAAGCUCUAAUUUACAAAGUUGAACAAUCCUAUACAUCACUGUCUAUAAUAGUGUAAUAAAAUAAGGAAGAACAAGAUAGAAGGGGACUCCGAGGCCUACGGACGCGGGUAGGUGUACCUUGAAGUCUCCAAAGCAACCUCAGCUCACUAAUGCUGGGACUGAUAGGAAGUACUUGGAUCUGCAUAAAAAGAUGUGCAGAAGCGUAGUAUGAGUACACCACAACAGUACCCAGUAAGUGCCGAGCCUAACCUCGGUAGAGUAGUGACGAGGUCAGGUCAAGGCCCUACCGGAUAUAAUAAGAAACAAGACGAAAGAUAUAACGAUAUAAUGAAAAUGACAAUGAAAAUGAAAUAAUAAGGAAUUUACCAAAAAUUAACAACACAGAAUCAAGGCAGUUAAUACAAUACGAAAGGAAACAAGGAUUAACAUGUUAAGGAAACAAACAAUCAAGACGAAUACAACAAAUAGAGAAAGAUAAAAAAGGGCCACUACCGAGGUACCGCCUCGUAGUCCCAAAUAACAAAAGUAACUCACAGUAUUUCCUUAUAUCACUGCGGGAGCCUUUACAUUUAGUUUUGAAAAUUAUUUUUUCCGAAAUAGCACCCCGCGUUUUAUCCCAUCUUAUCACACAACAUGACUUCUAGUAGUUCCCCUACUAUCCACGUAUAUCAAGCCUACCUUAUCUCACCGCAUAUGUUUUAACACUCAGACCUUAUACUACCACAUGCGUAUCAAUAUCACAAUUCGCACCUGAAGUGCCCAAUAUAACAACUUGCCAAAAAAUCCAACGAUGACAGAAUUUCACAAUAAGGAGCCCACGGCUCAACCACAAUGUACACAAAGUCUCAACAAUAACAACCGGAGAGUAACUCAAUAAAAUGAUAUUUCACAACUUACACUUUGCCUCAAUAGAAAUCACGGCCUUUGCAACUCAAUACCAAAGUCAACAACAAGAUAUUCCAAGAAUAGCAAUUUUAAGUAAAGAAUUCAACAGUUAAAUUACGAACACGAAAUAAAAGAAAGCAAGUAAUUCAACUAAACAUGUAGGACAAGUUACAAAUAAGAGACAAGACAAGUAUACAUGUGAAAUUAGACUAAAUAUGAUGAUUAUAACAGGUUAAAGUAACUCAAUUAAAGCAUGAAAGGAACUACAUAGCUAAAAACCAAAAUUUUAAUAUUUAGCCCGUGUACACACUCGUCAACUUGUGUACACGGCCUUCACAUAUCAUAAUUAUCACAACAAUACCAAAUCCUAAGGGGAAUUUUCCCUCACACAUGGUUAGACAAGUCACUUACCUCAAAUCACACUAAAUCAAUCAACUAGAAGGCCUUUCCCUCAAUUUUCCAACUCUGAAUGGCUAGAAUAUAGCCAAAACAAUUUUAUACCAUAAAUAUAACUAUAAGAAACUAAUUCAAACAAUGAAAUUACGAUCUUUGCAAAGAAUUAAAAAAUCACCCCAAAAAGUCAACCCGGGCCCGCGUCUUGAAACCCGACCAAAAUUAUGAAACACCAAACACACAUUAGAUAUUGAGUCCAACCAUACAAGAAUUAUUCAAAUCCGACCUCAUUUCGUCUUUCAAAACUAAAAAUAUUAGCCUAAGGAAUUUCUACCAAUUUUUUCCAAUUUUCAACUCCAAAGCACCAAUUAAAUGAUGAAAUUAUCAAUAGAUUCAUGUGAAUUAACAAAAAUGAGUUAGAAUUAUUUACCCCAAAGUUCUUUCUGAAAAUACCUCGAACUUUCACGCCAAAUCGAGCUCUCUAAGUCCCAAAAUGAAUUAUGAAUCAAACCCUCGAAUUUUCCUCCUUUUCUGCCCAGUUAAAUCACACAUGCGAUCUUACUGCCGCAUCUGCGGCUCCGCACCUGCGGAAUUUCCAUCGCAGGUGUGGAUUUCACUUAACUCAGAAACUCUGCUUAUGCGGACAAGACAUCGCACCUACGAGUGCGCUCAUGCGGAGUAUUCUCCGCUUCUGCGAAGAAGACCAAGAAGCUUCUUUUGCAUCUGCGACCACCUCUCCGCACCUGCGGACGCGCAGAUGCGGUCCACUCCUCCCACUUGCGAUCCCAACUGGGCUAAUCCAUUUUAUCACCUGCGAUCACCAGCUCGCUUUUGCGAGCUCGCACCUGCGGUCAAUCCCUCCGCAGGUGCGAUGACACCAGAACAGCCCAGCUUCAGUAAUCUUAAAAAUUCAAACUUGUUCCGGAUUAGAUAUGAAUCACACCAGGGGGCCCUAAGACCCCGUCCGAAUAUACAAACUAGUUCCAAAACACAUAAAGGACCUACUCGAGGCCAAAAAUCACAUCAAACAACUUAAAUUCUAUGAAUCGCAACCCAAAUUCAAGCCUAAGCAACUAUGAACUUCCAAAUUCUGAAAGCAACGUCGAUUCAUACCAAAACAACUCCGAUUCACAUCAAACUUUGCACACAAGUCAUAAAUGACAUUAAGGACCUAUUCUAACUUCCAAAAUCGUGAUCCGGCCUCAAUAUCAAUAAAGUUCACUCUCGGUCAAACUUUUCAAAAUCUUCUAACUUUUGCCAAUUCACGCCGAAAUGACUUACAGACCUCCAAAUCAACAUCCGAAAAUGCUCCUAAGACCAAAAUCACCCUACAGAGCUAUUGGAACCAUAAAAACUCCAAUCCAGAGUCAUCUUCUCACAAGUUAAACUACUGUCAACUUCUACGACUUAAACCUCCAAUUUAGAGACUAUGUGUCCCAUUUCACUUCGAAACUCACCCGAAACCAAAACCAACCACCUCGGCAAGUUACAUAACCAAACCAUAUCAUAUAGGGAGAAAACUAUAGGGUAUUGAGGCUAAAAUACUCAAAAUAACUGGCUGGGUCGUUACAGGUAUAUAAGACCCAGAGGUCUUGCGUUUGGAGGGAAGUGUGGACGGCUUCCUUCUUGACUUCAAGAAUUAUCUUUGCACUAAAGUCUACGAUGAAUUCAGCAAUAACUUUCUACUUUAUCGAUGUUUGCAGUUGGUAUGUAAUAUCAUGCUCGCUUAGCUCGAUAGCCCACUUGGCCAGCCUCCCCGAUAGCUCGGGUUUAUGCAAAAUGCUUCUCAGGGGAAAUGUUGUAGUGAUCGAGAUAAGGUGGCACUGAAAAUUGGGUCUAAGCUUUUGUGAAGCUAUGACCAAUGCCAUAGCUAGUUUUUUGAGGUGUGGGUACCUCGUCUCGGCGUCGACGAGUGUUUUACUAAUGUAAUAGAUGGGAGAUUGCGUACCUUUGCUUUUGCAGAAUAGUACUGCACUUACUACUACUUCAAAGAUGGCUAGAUAGACGAUGAGGUAUUCCCGAGGUUCGGGCUUUGAAAGCAGAGGUGGUGAUGAUAGAUAUGCCUUCAGUUCUCGCAGAGCUUGGAUAUACCCGAGAGUCCAUUUGAGAUAGUUGUCCUUUAUGAGAACGCCAAAAAAUUUGUCAUAUCUAUCAGACGACCGCGAGAUAAAUGUCGAUAAGGUGAUGAUUCGACCAGUCAACCUUUGGACUUGUUUCUUGGUAGUCAAGAGUUCUCGUAUCCCCUCGAUAGCUUUGAUUUAGUCUGGGUUGACCUCGAUCCCCCGUUGUGACACCAAACGUGCAUUUUUAUAGAUUUAGUUUCAUUCUUUACCGUCUUAGUAUAUCAAAAGCUUCCUUUAAAUGAUCGAUAUAAUCCUCUACCUUUACGGACUUGACCAGCAUAUCGUCUAUAUAUACUUCUAUGGUCUUGCCGAGCUGGUCUUUGAACAUCUUCGUGACCAAUCUUUGAUAUGUGGCUUCUGCGUUCUUCAGCCCAAAUGGCAUGACCCUAUAGCAGUAUGUUCCCUUGUGGGUGAUGAACGUGGUUUUCUCCUGGUCCUCUUCUUACAUAAGUAUAUGGUUAUAACCUGAGGACGCAUCCAAGAAACUCAGCAGCUCAUGUCCGACCAUUGCGUCGAUGAGUUGGUCGAUGUGUGGCAACGAGAACGAGUCCUUUGGGUACGCUUUAUUUAAGUCCGUGAAAUCCAUGCACAUCUGCCAUUUCCUAUUUUUCAUUUUGGCCAUCACUUUGUUGGCGAUCCAUUUGGGGUACUUUGAUUCCCUGAUGGAACCAUUUUUUAAUAUUUUCUCCACCUUCUCGUGGACGGCAUCGUUGAUAGCGGGAUUGAAUUUACGUCUGGCAUGCCUUAUUGAGGGGUAGAACGGGUCGACAUUUAAUUUGUGUGUGGCGAUCUCCUUGGGGAUGACCGACAUAUUUGCAUGGCUGAAGGCAAACAAAUCUGCAUUAGUUGUUAAGAAUUGACAGAAUUUACCUGGAUCUCAAAGUUUGCAACUGAUGUAGGACUUUUUGCUAUAGUCAUUGGGGUUUAAUUUAACGAGGUCAGGGUCAUCUAUGGUCGAGUCCGUAACCUCGACCAUUUUGGGAUCCAUGAUAACGUCCUUAGUCUCAUCUUGUGUCGACCUCGGGCAUGUUGAUUGUUAUGCCUCUUUUUCUCUCUGUUUUUUUCUGUUGGGUUGUCGUGGUAUCUAAGGCAAUGCGGUAGUACUCCCGGGAUAUACGUUGUUCUUCGCGUAUGCUGAAUAUUCCCGAAGGUGUUGGGAAUUCAAUUACUUGGUAUAGGCUGGAGGGGAUAGCUCUCAUGGGAUGUAUCAACGGUCGUCCCACUAUGGCAUUGUACGCGGUGGCCUGAUCCAUGAUGUGGAAUAUCGUGUCCAGCGUCACGCCACCGGCCAAGACGGGGAGUGUAAUUUCUAACAUGUUGUACUAUUCCUAGAAAUCGUAAUAGUACAAAUGCAGAGAAUAUCUACUAGAAUAUUCUCUUUAAUGUCUUAUCUUGAAACUAGCCGUUAUAACUCUGUCAAGGGUAUUCGACAUCGGCCUCUAUCCUUGCUGACUUCUCGACCUCAGUCCUUGUUGACUUUUCGACCACGACCUUCAUUGUUCCUUAAACCACUUCGACACGUGUCGGCCUGGGAAUGUUUCGCUAAUACUAUCAUGACUUAAGUAUUCUAGAUAUAGAUUUUGACCCAUACAAUUACUAAAAUAGUUAACCAAUUGAAAUAGUUCACAUUAACAUUUCCAAUUAGUCACUGCCUAUGCGUGUGGCAAAUAUGAAAACUUGAGCAAUUUAGAUUUCUAGUUAUAUCACAAGAAAAAUUUAGACGUCUUUUUUCUUCUUGUGUAUUAUCUUCUCUUUUGAAAAGGAGUGACCUAUUGAACACUUAUUCUAAGCUAACUUGUGCCUAUUGAACACAAAUUUAACAAUCAUACACCAAAUUGAGUGCGGGGCAGAAAUAUACAGCCUAGUUAGUAGGAGAGAUGCAUCAAAAAGGAUCCUGAUUGGUCAUGUUAACUGCAGAAAUGCCAACCAGAACAUCAAUCCUUCUAUGUUGAACUCAUGAUAAGAAAGCUAUGACAAAUAUUACAACAUUCUGCUUAAGGUUCUAUCCAACAAUGUUGUUUUUUUAUUUAAAAAAUUCCUCUUUGACAAAUAGGUAGACAGAGAAAAAUAAAUUAAAAGGGAGCUCAACAUUCUUAAGAUAAACUCAAACUUUUAUUGUACCUAGCUCAUUUGCACAUUAAGUUUAAUUUAAAAUGUUAAAACUCUGCUCCAAACUUCAAGAUAAGUUUUAGACUUUUUCCCUGGCCUUUUAAACGACAAGUUUAGCUUUUGAUAUGGCACUUAAAAUUUUAGGCUGAAUACAUAGACAGCUCCUCAGAGUUGUUCAAACUUUUUAUUUCGACACUUGAAGCAGUGACCUAUUGAACACUUAUUCUAAGCUAACUUGUGCCUAUUGAUCACAACUUUAAUAAUCAUACACCAAAUUGAGUGCGUGACAGAAAUAUACAGCCUAGUUGGAGGGAGAAAUGCAUCAAAAGGCUCCUGAUUGGUCAUGUUAACCGCAGAAACACCAACCAGAACAUCAAUCCUUCUAUGUUAAACUCAUGAUAAGAAAGCUAUGACAAAUAUUACAACAUCCUGCUUAAGGUUUUAUACAACAAUGCUAUUUUUUUAAAUUUAAAAAACUCAACAACAACAACAACUCAGUAUAAUCCUACUAGUAGGAUAUGGGAAGGAUAGUUUGUACGCAGACCUUACCCUUACCCUAGGGUAGAAAAACUGUUUCCGAUAGACCAUCGGCUCCCUCCCUCUAAGAACUCCUCGCCUUACUCUUGAAAUGACUCGAACUCAUAACUUCUUGGUUGAAAGUGGAAAAUGUUCACUAAUAGAAUAACUCACUCUUGUCAAAUAAGUAAAUAAAGGAAAAUAAAUUAAAAAAGAAUCUCAACAUUCUUAAGAUAAACUCAAACUUUUAUUAUACCCAGCUCAUUUGCACAUUAAGUUUAAUUUAAAAUGUUAGAACUCUGCUCCAAACUUCAAGAUAAGUUUUAGACAUUUUCCUUGGCCUUUUAAACGCAAGUUUAGCUUUUGAUAUGACACUAAAAAAAAUUAAUUUUAAAUUGAAUACAUAGACAUUCCCUCAAAGUUGUACAAACUUUUCGUUUAGACACUUGAACGAAAGCAGUGACCUAUUGAACACUUAUUCUCAGCUAACUUGUGCCUACUGAACACAAACUUAACAAUCCUACGCCAAAUUGAGUGCGUGAAUAACACUUGCUCUUGACAUGGUAAAUAAAACAAACAAAAAAAGACAUGUCAGCAAACAAAAGUCAAAGUUCUGAAAAAUGAGAGAGAGAGAGAGAGUGGUCGGGAAAAAAAAAGUGGGCAGGAGGAGUUGGCCGAAAAAAAAGAUUCCCAAAUUUUCACCUCUCCAGCAAUAAUUUUUUUACAGUAACUAUGUCAAGUUUGAAUCUAAAGAAGAAGAAACUCCAUUAUCCUGGAAAGAAAAAAAGAGAAAGAGGAAGAAAAAUCUGAUCUGGAUCUUUCAAAAAGAUUCCCGGCGAUCUCCAUUUUUGCUGGCAGCAGUGUUUUUCCCCAGCGGCGAUGCUUCUUCAAAUCCACAAAUGGGCUUUAAUUAAACUUCAACCGCAACAAGAUGAGAACAAUAGUAUUAGAUCUUUUUUACUCUUUUCUUUGAUUGUUUAUUCCCAAGAUUUGGCAGAAACAUUUUUUACCAUAUUAGUCAAGGCUUUAAGAUAAAUUCCUUAGUCAUAACUCUCAAUUCUUUCCUGUGUUAUUACUCUGUAUUGCUAUAAUAAAUAAUUAAAUUUUUAAAAAAAAUAAAAUAGAGUAAUACUUGUUUAACGAAAUAGAUUCUGGAAACAAAAAACAGUAUAGGAAUAAAUCGAGCUCACUGAAUACACAGUGUAUCCUUAAGGAAAUUAUUCCCCUCAAGUACCCGAGGUGUUGAAAUAUAUCCUCCCAGGAUAUAACGAUUUAACUCACUAGUAUAUUAGUACCAAAAAUUCUGAUUAACUGCAAACCACUCAAUGGUCGUAAAACACACUAAAAUAUAUUGUGUAGAAGAAGAAGAAGCUUAUAAAAUUUCGUAAGGAAAGAUUCUGGGAUUCAAACUCUAUUUAUAGAGUUGCUGGCAUUGUUUCUGAAAAGGUUUGCAACCUUUCAGAAACAGUCAUGGCUGUUGGAAAAGGGGUGUUUGAAAUAUUGCGGGAAUUUUUUUUUAAAAAUAAUCCGGAAAAGAAAACGGGCCUGACCGAAUCGGGUCGAGGGUCAUGGGUUAUUCCGGAUUGAUUUUUUCGUUAUUUAUUUAAUUAAUUAAUUAAAUAAUUGAAAGAAAUUUUGUCCAAAAAGAUUAAUCAAUCAAUCUUUGACCGAAGUCGAAGCCGAGCGAGCGACGACGACGGAGCGAGGCUUGCCUUUUUCUUAACUCUUUAAGAGGUAGAAGAAGAGCAAUUAUAUAUAUACUCAUCAAAAGUCUUUUCUUUCUCCGAUAUGGAACAAUGUCUCUUUCCCAAGGGAAACUCAAAUAUUUUAUUUUCCCUCCAUUUCUCGUUCAGCCUCUUUAAAUUACACAAGCUUAAAAUUCCAACACCAUAUUUAAUAGUAGCGAUGAUAAUGAUAUCUUUAACAGAUUCAAGGCUUCCAAACUAUGAGUUAAAUCUAAACAAGUACUGUAUUUUAGUGGUGAUCGAUCAUAACUACAUUUACAAGAACCUCAAGCUAUGGAAUCACAGUAUAAUAUUGUAAACACUUAUUGGGAUAACUCUGUGGGGAUUCACCCAAAAAAAGAGUGAUUAAAAAUGAGCCUGAACAGAAUAGUGUGAAGAAGAAGAAAAAAUAGGUUUGGAAAAAUAGCAGAAAAAUGAGUUUGAAAGAAGUACAACAGAAAUGGCCAGAAAUUAAUGGUGGAAAAAGGGGAGCAAUGAGGAAUCUAGUUGUCAAGGAAGAAUAAGGAAUCUGGAGGUGUAACCCAGGCCUUUCACGAGCUUGNNNNNNNNNNNNANNNNGAUGUGUAAAACACUUGUAGUGCCAUGUGAGCAAUGUGUGUUUGUAGAUGCACAUUGAUAGAGGCUGAAGUGUCUCAUAGGUAAACCCCUUAGUUAAGGUGCCUAUAUGAACUUUUACGAACUUGUAAUGAAAGAACUCCCAAAAUUUAUAAUCUACAUAAGUUUUUAUGAAAAAUUGAAACUUCUUAGCUAAAACUUUGCAAAAUGCUUUAUUUUUCGGAAACGGCUUAAAAAUGAGGUCGUUCUGGUGUGACGACCCGAUAGGUCGUCUUGAGUUCUAGCCCUUAUUUUCGUGUUUCGAGACUUCUAUUAGCUACAUUUAGUAUUUUUCGAUUUGCGUACGCAAUCCGUGUCUUGUUCAGGAAAGAUUUAAUGUGAAUUUUUUUAAAAAAAAAAAAUUAGCUUUAAAAAUGAUUUGAGUUGACUACGGUCAAUAUUUUGUGUAAACAAUCAUCGGCAUUUUGACGAUCUCGGUGGGUCUGCAUCGUGAUUUUGGACUUUGGCGUAUGCAUAGAAUUGAAUUCGGAAGUCCCUAACUUGAUUUUGACUUGAUUUAUUGAAAACUAGUAACUUGAAGGUUUAAAGAUUUCUAUUGCUGCCAGGUUCGGAUUUCGGUUCCGGAACUUGGUAUAGGUUCAUUUUACUAUUUAAAACUUGUCUGCAAAAUUUAGUGCAAAACAGAGUUGGUUUGAUAGGAUUCGGAUGCUCGGUUGUUAAUUUGGAAGUUCUUGAGUUUCUUUGAAAAUUUUAUGCAUUUUGAUGUCUGAUUCCAACACCAUAUUUAAUAGUAGCGAUGAUAAUGAUAUCUUUAACAGAUUCAAGGCUUCCAAACUAUGAGUUAAAUCUAAACAAGUACUGUAUUUUAGUGGUGAUCGAUCAUAACUACAUUUACAAGAACCUCAAGCUAUGGAAUCACAGUAUGAUAUUGUAAACACUUAUUGGGAUAACUCUGUGGGGAUUCACCCAAAAAAAGAGUGAUUAAAAAUGAGCCUGAACAGAAUAGUGUGAAGAAGAAGAAAAAAUAGGUUUGGAAAAAUAGCAGAAAAAUGAGUUUGAAAGAAGUACAACAGAAAUGGCCAGAAAUUAAUGGUGGAAAAAGGGGAGCAAUGAGGAAUCUAGUUGUCAAGGAAGAAUAAGGAAUCUGGAGGUGUAACCCAGGCCUUUCACGAGCUGGCAAGAUGUGUAAAACACUUGUAGUGCCAUGUGAGCAAUGUGUGUUUGUAGAUGCACAUUGAUAGAGGCUGAAGUGUCUCAUAGGUAAACCCCUUAGUUAAGGUGCCUAUAUGAACUUUUACGAACUUGUAAUGAAAGACUCCCAAAAUUUAUAAUCUACAUAAGUUUUUAUGAAAAAUUGAAACUUCUUAGCUAAAACUUUGCAAAAUGCUUUAUUUUUCGGAAACGGCUUAAAAAUGAGGUCGUUCUGGUGUGACGACCCGAUAGGUCGUCUUGAGUUCUAGCCCUUAUUUUCGUGUUUCGAGACUUCUAUUAGCUACAUUUAGUAUUUUUCGAUUUGCGUACGCAAUCCGUGUCUUGUUCAGGAAAGAUUUAAUGUGAAUUUUUUUUUUUAAAAAAAAAUUAGCUUUAAAAAUGAUUUGAGUUGACUACGGUCAAUAUUUUGUGUAAACGAUCAUCGGCAUUUUGACGAUCUCGGUGGGUCUGCAUCGUGAUUUUGGACUUUGGCGUAUGCUUAGAAUUGAAUUCGGAAGUCCCUAACUUGAUUUUGACUUGAUUUAUUGAAAACUAGUAACUUGAAGGUUUAAAGAUUUCUAUUGCUGCCAGGUUCGGAUUUCGGUUCCGGAACUUGGUAUAGGUUCAUUUUACUAUUUAAAACUUGUCUGCAAAAUUUAGUGCAAAACAGAGUUGGUUUGAUAGGAUUCGGAUGCUCGGUUGUUAAUUUGGAAGUUCUUGAGUUUCUUUGAAAAUUUUAUGCAUUUUGAUGUUUGAUUCGUAGUUCUAGGUAUUAUUUUGAUCACGCGAGCGAGUUCAUGUGAUGUUAUUAUACUUGUGUGCAUGUUUGGUUUGGAGCCCGAGUGGCUCGGGUGAGUUUCGGAUAAGCUACAGAGCAUUUGAACUUUUAAAAAAAUGUUGGUUAAGCUAUAUGAUGAUGUCUUAUGCAAUAUGUUUCGUGAUCGCGAAGCCGCUCUCGCGAUCGCGAAAGGGAAAUUGGGACAGAGGUGUAUUCCUUCUAUGUGAAUGCGAGGAUGCGAUCGCGAACGCAAAGCAGCGGGGGAACUAUCCUUCGCGAACGCGAACGCGACCUCACCCACACGAACGCAAUGGGUUAAUGGGUCUGGGGGAAGGCUGGGCUGAUACUCCAUCGCGAACACGGAGCGUAUCUCGCGAACACAAAGGCCAUUCGAGCCGUUGUGCGCGAUCGCGUCAGGUCCUUCGUGAAUGCGAAGAACACCUUACGCCAGUGAUUUAAAACAUUUCAAAAUCGAGAUUCUUCUCAUUUUUCACCAUUUUUAAGUUUGAGCUCGGCCUAGAGGCGAUUUUGAAGAUAUUUUUCAUCCCAACUUAAUAGGUUAGUAGAUUUUAACUUGUUUCCUUACAUUUCCAUAAACACCCAUUGAUUAUAACCUUUAAUCUAUUCUUUUUUAUGGUAAAAAUUAGGAAUUUAGGUAGAAAUUGGAGAUUUUGAGAAAUUGAGACUUAGACCGCAAAUUGAGGUUGCAUUUCGAAACUAAUCACAUAAUCGGGCUCGGGGGUGAAUGGGUAAUUGGGUUUUUGUCCGAAUCUCGAGUAUUGACCAAGCGGGCUCGGGGUUUACUAUAAUGACCUGAUAGGUCAUUUUGAGUAUUAGCCCUUAUUGUCAUAUUCUGAGACCUCCAUUAGCUUUGUUUAAUAUUUCUUGGUUUGUGUGCGUGGGCCGUGUCACUUUUUGAAAAGCUUUUAUGUGAAAGUUUGAAGAAAAUAUAAUUUUUGGCUUUAAAAACAACUUGAGUUGACCACGAUCAACAUUUUAUGAAAAUGACCUCGAAUCGGUAUUUUGACGAUUUCGAUAGUUCCGAAUCAUGAUUUUGGACUUGGGAGUAUGCCCAGAAUUGAAAUUGGAGGUCCCUAGAUUGAUUUGACUCAUUUUGCCGAAAAUUAGUAUUUUGAAAGUUUAGAAAUUUUCUAAGUUUGACCAUAAGUUGACUUCACAGUUAACGAGUUCAUAUUUUGAUGUUGAAACUUGGAAUAGGUGUGUAUUACUAUUUGAAACUUGUCUACAAAUUUUGGUGCACUUCGGAAUUGAUUUGACAUGCUUCAGACGCUUAUAUGUGAUUCUAAUUGUUCUUGAGUUUACUUUGAAAUUUCAUUCGUUUUGAGGGUUGAUUUGUAGAUUUGGAUGUUAUUUUGGUAAUUUGAUUGUGCGAGCGAGUUCAUAUGAUGUUAUUACACUUGUGUGCAUGUUUGGUUUGGAGCCCGAGGGGCUCGGGUGAGUUUCAGACGUGUUUCAGAUGAGUAUGGUUAGUGUAAAGACUGCUAGUGCAUGGAACACUUCUGGUGUCUGAUACAGAUCUCACAUCUGUGAGGUUUGGCUCGCAAUUGUGAGUCAUGCUUUUGCGAACAAUAGCUGGCAUUUGCGAGCAUAGGCAGGGCUAAUCUCGUAAUUGUGAGGAAAAUAUUCGCAUUUGCGAGCAUGGGCUGGGCUAAUCUCGCAAUUUCCAGGAAAAUGUUCGCAUUUGCGAUCUCAGAGUCGCAUUUGCGAUCUCAGAGUCGCAUUUGCGAUCUCAGAGUCGCAUUUGCGACUCAGUGUGCUCUUGAGUGAUCUUCGCAAUUGCGAAGGAAUCGUCCGCAUUUGCGAAGGUAGGUUUGUUCGCAAUUGUGAACCUUUUGUCGUAAUUGCUGCUUCUGCGCUUCUAUGACAGUGUUCGCAUUUGCGACCCUUGUCUCGCAUUUGCGAACAAGACAUCGCAAUUGCGACAUUUGCAAUUGGGUAAGAGAGAGGGAAAAUGGGACUUACCUCAUUUUACAUCAUUUCUCAACCCUAAACACUCUAGAGGUAAUUUUCAAGAGACCUUUUUUCCUAAGUUCAUUGGUAAGUGACUCUAAUCUAUUUCCUUUCAAUUACCCAUUACUUUUCAUGAGAUUUCAAAUUUAAAUUUAUGAUUUCCAUGAUAGAAAUUAGGGAUUUGGGUAGAAUUAGAAAGUUUUUGUAAAAUUGAGAUUUAAACCUCAAAUUGAGGUCGGAUUUUGAAACAAAUCAGAUAACCGGGCUCAGGGUGAAUGGAUAAUCGGGUUUUGGUCCGAACCUCGGAUUUUGACCAAGCGAGCCCGGGGUUGACUUUUUAAAAAAUGAUCAAAAUUGAACCUCUUUCAUUAAUGAGUAGUUUCUAAAGCUUAGUUUGAAUCAUUUGAUUGAUAAUUUGCUAGAUUUGGUUGGUUUGGAGACUUGUUCGAAAGGCAAAGUCGUGGUUGGUUGAUUGCUUUGAUUCGCGGAGUGAGGUAAGUGUUGGGUCUAACCUUGAUUUGAGGAAAUUAGAGAACCUUGAACUAUGUGUUAUGCGAAUUAUAUGAGGAAAAUGGUGUAUAUGCAAGGUGACAGAUGUAUAUACGCCGUCAUGAUAUUUGUUUCCAUGUUUUCGUUUAUUUCAUUAUAUAUCUUGCUUCAUGCCUUAAUUGUUACAUGCUUUAUUUGACUUCUAUGCCAUAAUUGUUACUUUUCAUUUAAUUAUUCUUGUAUUAAAUUGUCCAUCCCUUCCAUGACUAUAUGCUUAUUUGCUACUCGUCUCUACUUGUAUAUCUAAAUUGUCACAUGCUUUACUUGUCUUAUUGUUUGUAUUAUUUGUUGCAUUCUAUAAUGCGAUUUCACUUGCAUGAGUUAUUUAAUUGAUAGAUACCGAUGAAUUGGUAAAGUUGAGACUUCGAGUUGUUAGAGAUUCUUUGAUUAUUAUGUGGUUCUUUAUUACCUCGUACAUUUACCUUCUUGAUGUAAAAAUUCUUGUAUAUUUGGUUGUUGAAUUGUUUAUGUUGAUUGAAAUUGUUUGGGGAGCGGGUUGUACGCCGCAACGAAAAUUGGAAGGUAACGAAUUGAAAUGGUGGAAUAAGAAUGGAUUAUGGUAUUGACAAAUGAUGAUAUGGUAGAAUCGGAUUGCGCACCGCAAUUGAUUAUAUAUGUGGUACUUGUUUGUGAUUGUUGGAUUUGGAUCGGUAUUGUGAUAUGAGAUUAUGAGACUUGUUAUUCUUGACUCUCUAGUAGUUGGAUUUCGAGUUCUUUUUCAUGAGUUAACUGCUUUACUUCCAUUUCCUAUUUUCUUGUUAUUAUUAUUACUGUGUACAUGUUAUUAUAAGUGGCCCGCCUUAGCCUCGUCACUACCUCGUCGAGCUUAGGCUCGGUACUUACAGAGUACAUGGGGUCGGUUGUACUCAUACUAUACUCUGUACUUCUUGUGCAGAUACCGAAGUUGGUCCCAGCAGCGCUGAGUGAGAUUUCGGGUCAUGACAUUGACUUUUGUUGACUUUUUCCAAAAUCAUUAAAGAUUGAAUCUUUUUCACUCGUGAGUAGUUUCUAAAGCCUAUUACGAAUUAUUCAAACUAUAAUUGGUUAGAUUUGAUUGGUUUAGAGGCUAAUUCUAGAGGAAAAGUCGUGGUUGAGCAUUAAUUUGGUUGCAGAGUGAGGUAAGUGUCGUGGUUAACCUUGACUUGAGGUAUUAGGACUUGUUGGCCUAUUUUCUAUGUGUUUUAUGUGUGGGGACAACAUAUAUGUGAGGUAACGAGUAUGUAUGCGUUGUCAUUGAAUUAAAACAUGCAGGUGAAAGUUAUUUCUUUAUAUUAUAUUGUUUCAUUGACUAUGUUUUUCAUGUUUAGGUUAGAAUGUUACUUCUUUUAAUUAUUCGUUUCGUAUUUAUUGUUUAUUUCAAAGAUGUUGAAUAUUUUGAAAGUUGAGUUUGAUAUCAUAUGUAAUGACUCGGCCGGUCGUUUUGAGAGUUGUAGCCCUAUUACCCUAUUUACUGCUCAUUGUGUACUUUAUAGUUGUUAUGUGACUUGUCGGGAUAGUCGGUUUGGGUCUGGUGGGGUUUUGGAAGGAAAUAAGACACUUAGUCUCAUGGUUGAAGGCUUAAGUUGAAAUGGUUGACCGGAUGUUGACCUAUGAGUAAACAACUCCGGAAUGGAGUUUUGAUGGUUUCAUUAGCUACGUUGCGUGAUUUUGGACUUAGGAGCGUGUCUGGAUUGUGAUUUGGAGGUCUGUAAUGGAAUUAGGCUUGAAAUGACGAAAGUUGGAUUUUUGGAAAGUUUGAGCGGGAGUGAAAUCGGGGUCGAAUUUUGAUUUUGGAAGUUGGAGUACGUCUAUAAUGUCAUUUUUGACUUGUGUGCAAAAUUUGGGGUCAAUUGGAUUCGAUUUGAUAGGUUUCGACGUCAUUUCUAGAAGUUGGAAUUCCUUAGUUUCAAUAGUCUUGAAUUGAGGUGUGAUUCAUGUUUUUGAUAUUGUUUGAAGUAAUUUGAAGGCUCGACUAAGUUCGUAUUGUAUUUUAAGACUUGUUGGUAUAUUUGGUUGAGGUCUCGGGGGCCUCAGAUUAAUUUCGGAUGGUUAACGGAUCAAUUUUGAACUUGGUGUUAUGGCUGAAGUUUUCUGGUGUCUGAUAUGGUUUCCUUGUACGCGAUCGCAUGAAAGGGGUCGCGAUCACGUAGGCUUGUUUGGGGAAGUGGUGAUUUUUUCCCUAUACGUUCGCGAGUGGUGGUACGCGAUCACGUAGGUUUGGUUAGUCAGUGCAUCGCGAACGCGUGUGCAUUGUCGCGUUCGCGAAGAGGAGAGGAGGCAACUGGUUCUCACGCGGUUGUGCUUCGCGAUCGCUGGAGGGGAGACACGAUCGCGUAGGUUGGAGGAAGCAGAGGUCUCCGCGUUCGCGUGGGGGUCUCCGCGUUCGCGUAGAAUUAACUUCUGGGGUAGCUGUGUUGUGCUUCGCGAUCGCGAGGCUAUUUCCGCGAUCGCAAAUAAGGAUCACUAGGCAGAACUUUAAAUAUUUCAAAACGAGGGUUUGAGUUCAUAACACAAAAUUCAUUUGGUAGCUCGGUGGGAGGCGAUUUUUGGAGAGAUUUUCAAGUGGGUGAUUGACGUAAGUGAUUCCUACCUAGUUUUGAUUAAUUUCCAUGAUUAUGUCUUUAAUUUCAUCAUUAAAUUAGUGAUUUGGGGUGGACAUUUGGGGGCAAAUGGAGGAAAGUUCUUAGGCCGAAUUUUGAGGUUUUGAUUGAGAUUUUAGUGUCAGAUUUGGGUAAUUUUAGUACGGGUGGACUCGUGGUUGAAUGAACUUUUGACUCGAUUUUUGACUUUUGAUUAUUAACUUAGCAUUUUCUUAUGGAGUUGAUUCCUUUAGCCCGUAUUGAUUAUAUCGAAUUAUUUAUGGCUAGAUUCGAGGCAUUCAGAGGCCGUUUCGCGAGGCAAGGGUGUAUUGGAGUAGAGUUUUUCUUGGAUUGAGGUAAGUAACAGUUCUAAAUUUGAUUCUGAGGGUACGAAACCCCGCAUUAUGUGUCAUGUGUUUGGUUGUGAGGUGACGCACAUGCUAGGUGACGGGCGUGUGGGCAUUCACCAUAGGAAUUGUGGCUCAUCUAAUCCUAUGGAACUGUGUAGUUGAAUAAUUUGUUGUUAUCCAUACAUUUUUUCACGUAUUAGAGAAACUGAACUGCUAAUCAUGUUAGAAAUCAGGUUUAGACCAUGUGUUGACACUGUAGGGACCCACAGAGGUUGUGUACAUGUUGAAUUAUCUGCUAAAUUGUUAUUUUGUACUCAGUCACAGUUUUACUUGUAUGUUACAUCUCAGUCUCUAUUGUUCAUUAUUGAUGCAUUACAUCGUUGCUGUUUGGGCUGCUUAUCAUGAUUUUCGAGAGCCCGAUAGACUGGAGAGGUUGAUGACUGAAUGAGGUCGAGGGCCUGAUUGUGAGGAUAUUUAAGGGAUCGUAUUGCACGUCGCAGCAUGUUUCAUUGAUAUAUGCCAUGAUUUAUUUGUUAUAAUGCUUGGGCUGAAGGAGCCCCUCCGGAGUCUGUACACACCCCCAGUGAGCGCAGGUACCUACUGAGUACGAGUGUCGAGUGCUGAGCGACUAAGAGGAAUGAGUGACUGCGAGGAAUGAGUGAUUGUGAGGUUGGAGUGAAUGUGAGGACUGAGUGACUGCUGCUCUGUGAGGAUGCAUUUGACUUCAUUAUUUUUGCACUUCAGCUGUCAUAUAUCAUUGUCUUGAAAUUUUUGAAAGAUACUAUCUUCUGUUUCAGUUGAACCUGACAUGAAUUUACUGUUUUGGCCUUAAUUGUCGAACUUGAAAGCAUGCCUACCUUCCUAUGUUGAAAUCAUUGUAAUUGAACUUUAACUGUGAAGCUCGUCACUACUUUCAGUUCUUUAUUUAGUCUUGUUACUUACUGAGUUGAUUGUACUCACGCUACACCCAGUACUUUGUGUGCAGAUCCAGGUGUUUCCGGACACAGUGGGUGUUUAUUUCAUUGCACAAUUGAUCAUUUGGAGAUUUCAAGGUAGCUGCCCGGCGUUUCGCAGACCUUGUCUCUCUAUUCCUAUCUUUUCGCUUAUCGUAUUUAGUUUCAGACUAUCAGAGACAGUAUUUUCCAGACUUGUGAUGUAUAGAUGCUCAUGUACUCUGUGACACCACGAUUGUUGGAAACUUUUGCGUUGUGUUUUCGGGUUUCUAUCCCAUUUAUGAGAAUUUUCAUUGUUUAAACUGUUUUAAUUCAUUUUCUCUUGAAAGUGUUGGAAAUAUUGUGGAAUGUCGUCUUGCCUAGUACCACGUUAGGCGCCAUAAUGAGAGGCUAGGAUUUUGGGCCAUGACAAGUUGGUAUCAGUGCCUAGGUUACAUAGGUCUCACGAGUCAUGAGCAGGUUUAGUAUAUUCUUGUGGAUCGGUACGGAGACGUCUGUACUUAUCUUUGAGAGGUUGUCUAACCCUUAGGAAACUUCAUAUUCUUGUAUUCUUGUCGUGCGGAUUUGUUGACUCCGGUAACUAAACUUUUGUAUUCUAUUCUCUCACAGAUGGUGAGUACACGUGCUACCAGACAUAAAGGACAGCCACCAGUACCACCAGUUAGGGCCACGAGAGGCCGAGGUCGCGGUAGGGGCAGAGGUGCAGCUCGUACAACAGCUAGAACGGCACCUGCAAAUCCACCUGUUGCUCCAGCUCAGGAGUAGGUUCCAUAUGUGUCUUAGUCAGUAGGGCCAGCUCAAGCACCACUUGUGCUCAUUGUGAUUUCAGGCCUUCAGGAGGCUUAGGCCCAAAUAUUGACCGUUUGCACUGGCCUUGGUUUCGGCUCAUGCCGCACCAGCCACUUCUCAGGCCGGGGGAGGUACUCAUACCUCCGUUUCCCGUACUCUAGAGCAAGUGGUCCCCGUUAUGACUGAUGAUGAGCGGAGGAGACUUGAGAGGUUUGGGAAACUUCAGCCUCCAUCAUUCAGCGGUGCUGGGACAGAGGAUGCCUAGGGUUUCUAGGAUAAGUGCCAGUGGAUUCUUUGCACUGCGUGUAUUCUGAAGACCAGUGGGGUCUCGUUCACUACUUUCAGUUCAUUGGGGCUGCCUUCAGAUGAUAGGAGGCUUACGAGAGGCGCAGGACGGUCGGUGCAGCACCACUUACAUGGUAGGAGUUCUCCGUUCUCUUGUUGGAAAAGUUCAUUCUGUAGUCUCGCAGGAGGAGCUGCGCUGACAGUUUGAGCAGUUACGUCAGGAGGGCAUGUCUGUGACGCAGUACGAGACGCAGUAUGGUUGAUUUCCACUGAUAGGGAGAGGAUUAAGAGGUUUAUUGAUGGCCUCACGUAUCAGAUGCAGUUGCUUAUGACUCGGGAGAGGGUGUCUGGUGUUAUUUUUGAUGAGGUGGUCGAUGUUGCUCAGCAGAUAGAGAUGCUCCACAGUUAGGAGUGCGGAGAGAGGAAGACCAAGAGGCCCCGUAGCUCGGGUGGUUUCAGCGGUGCUCCUUUUUAGGGUCAAUUCUACCACGGCAGGGGUCGUCCGUAUAGGCACGCUCAGAUGGCUCGUCCAGUUCACCGUGUGCACCAUCCAGCCAUAAUUCAUACAAUUCUCAUCAUGGUCAAUCAUCUCUCAAUGUCCUUCCAGCUCAGAGUUCGUUUCCUGCUCUAUUGGCUCAGGGUUCAUCUAUGCCGGGUCCUUCUAGCAGUUACCCCGGUGCUCGGGGCUCCCUUCAGUCCCCACCACCAGCAUCGGGGAGUCACUUUGAGUGUAGGGAGUUUGGGCAUAUGUGGAUACAGUGUCCUCGUCGUCUAGGAGGUCUAAUGCAGCAGAGGAGUCAGGCUGCAACUUCAGCACUAGUUACUUCACCACCCGCCUAGCCAGCUCGGGGUGGAGCUCAGUCAGCUAGGGGUCCCCCAAGAGGAGAAGGCCGAUCAGGUGGAGGCCAGGCCCGAUUCUAUGAUAUUCCUGCCAGACCAGAUGUUGUUGCUUUCGAUGCAGUGAUCACAGGUAUUGUCUCAGUAUUCCACAAGGAUGCCUCCCUGGUUCCACUUAUUCGUAUGCAUCAUCGUAUUUUGCUCAUUAUCUGGAUAUGUGAGUCCUUAGUUUUAUCUGUUCAUGUAUCUACGCCAGUGGGUGAUACUAUUGUUGUGAACCGUGUAUAUCGGUCGUGUGUAGUGACUAUUGGGGGAUUGGAGACUAGAUUUGAUCUUUUAUUUCUUAGUAUGGUGAACUUCGAUGUGAUCUUGGGUAUGGAUUGGUUGUCUCCAUGUCAUGCUGUUCUGGAUUGUCACGCUAAGACCGUGACAUUGGCGAUGCCAGGGUUGCCAAGGAUUGAGUGGAGAGGUUCUCUAGACUAUGUUCCCAGUAGGGUGAUUUCAUAUUUGAAGGCCCAACAGAUGGUUGGGAAGGGUUAUUUAUCUUAUUUGGCCUUUGUGAGGGAUGUUGGUGUUGAUACUCCUUCUAUUGAUUAAGUUCGGGUGGUGCGAGAUUUUUCGGAUGUGUUUCCUGCAAACCUGCUGGGCAUGCCGCCCGACAUGGAUAUUGAUUUCGGUAUUGACUUGGUAUCGGGCACUCAGCCCAUUUCUAUCCUAUCGUAUCGUAUGGCACCAACUGAGUUGAAGGAAUUGAAGGAGCAGCUUCAGAAACUUCUUGAUAAGGGGUUUAUUAAGCCUAGUGUGUCGCCUUGGGGUGCACCGGUUCUGUUUGUGAAGAAGACGGAUGGUACUAUGCGGAUGUGCAUUGAUUACAAGCAGUUGAACAAAGUUACAAUAAAAAAACAAGUAUCAUUUGCCGUGCAUUGAUGAUCUAUUUGAUCGGCUGCAGGGAGCGAGGGUAUUCUCUAAGAUUGACUUGAGGUCUAGGUAUCACUAGUUGAAGAUUCGGGACUCGGAUAUUCUAAAAAUAACAUUCAGGACCCAUUAUGGUCAUUAUGAGUUCCUCGUGAUAUCUUUUGGGCUGACUAAUGCCCCAGCAACAUUCAUGCAUCUGAUGAACAGUGUAUUUUAACUUUAUCUUGACUCGUUUGUCAUAGUGUUUAUUGAUGAUAUCUUGGUGUACUCUCGCAGCCAGGAGGAGCAUGCCCAUCAUUUGGGGAUUGUGUUACAGCGGUUGAGGGAGGAGAAGCUUUAUGCUAAGUUCUCCAAAUGUGAGUUUUGGCUUAGAUCGGUGGCGUUCUUGGUGUACGUGGUGUCCAGUGAGAGGAUUCAGGUGUAUUCGAAGAACGUAGAGGCGGUUAAGAAUUGGCCUAGACCGUCCUCAACUACGGAGAUUCAGAGCUUUCUCGGCUUGGCCGAUUAUUAUUGUCGUUUCAUGAAGGGUUUAUCGUCUAUUACAUUGCCUUUGAUGAUGCAUGGUCGGAUUUGUGUGCCUAAUGUGGAUAGGUUACGUGAGUUGAUUCUUGUGGAGGCCCACAGUUCGCGAUAUUCCAUUCAUCCGGGUGCCGCAAAGAUGUAUCAGAACUUGAGGUAGCAUUAUUGGUGGAGAAGAAUGAAGAAGGAUAUAGUGGGGUUUGUAGCUCGGUGCCUCAACUGUUAGCAGGUGAAGUAUGAGCACCAGAGACCGGGUGGAUUGCUUUCGAUGCUAUUUGGGUGAUUAUGGAUCGGCUGACCAAGUUUGCAUACUUUUUUCCAGUUGGGACUACUUAUUCUUCGAAGCGGUUGGUUGAGAUUUACAUCCGAGAGAUCGUUCGCCUUCACAGUGUGCCAGUAUCCAUCAUUUCAGAUCGGGGCACACAGUUUACAUCACAAUUUUGGAGAGUCGUGCAGCAAGAGUUUGGUACCCAGGUUGAGUUAAGCACAUUAUUUCACCCUUAGACGGACGGACAGUCCGAUCUCCCUAUUCAUAUAUUGAAGGACAUGCUAUGCACUUGUGUCAUCGAUUUUGGGAGUUCUUGGGAUCAAUUUCUGCCACUCGCGGAGUUUACCUAUAACAAAAGUUACCAGCCGAGCAUUCAGAUGGCUCCGUCUGAGGCUUUGUAUGGGAGAUGGUGUAGAUCUCCGAUGGGUUGGUUUGAGUCGGGUGAGGCUAGGCUAUUGGGUAUUGACUUGGUUCAGGAUGCUUUGGACAAGGUUAAAUUGAUUCAGGAGCGGCUUUGAACAGCGCAGUCUAGACAAGAGAGUUAUACCGACAUGAAGGUAUGUGAUGUUGCUUAUAUGGUUAGGGAGAAGGUGUUGCUCAAGGUUUCACCCAUAAAGGGUGUUAUGAAGUUCGGGAAGAAGGACAAGUUGAGCCCUUGGUAUAUUGGGUCGUUUAAGGUACUUCAGAGGAUUGGGGAGGUGGCUUACAAACUUCCUUUGCCACCUAGUUUUUCGAGUGUGCAUCCAGUGUUUCAUAUUUCUAUGCUUUGAAAGUAUGCCGGCGAUCUGUCUCAUGUUUUGUAUUUCAGCACGGUUCAAUUGGAUGGUGAUUUGACUUAUGAUGUGGAGUCGAUGGCCAUUUUGGAUUGGCAGGUUCGAAAGUUGAGGUCAAAGGAUAUAGCUUCAGUGAAGGUACACUGGGGAGGACAUCUAGUUGAGGAGGCUACUUGGGAUAUCGAGCGCAAGAUGCGGAGCAUAUAUCCAUACCUAUUUGAGACUCCAAGUACGUUUCUAGACCUAUUCGAGGACGAACGUUUGUUUAAGAGGGGAGGAUGUAAUGACUCGGCCGGUCAUUUUGAGAAUUGUAGCCUUGUUCCCCCAAUUACUUCCCAUUGUGUACUUUAUAGUUGUUAUGUGACUUUAUGGGGUAGUCGGUUCGGGUCCGGUGGGGUUUUGGAAGGAAAUGAGACACUUAGUCUUAUGGUUGAAAGCUUAAGUUAAAAUAGUUGACCAGAUGUUGACCUAUGAGUAAACGACUCCGGAAUGGACUUUUGAUGGUUCUGUUAGCUCCGUUGAGUGAUUUUGAACUUAAGAGCGUGUCUGAAUUGUGAUUUGGAGGUCCGUAGUGUAAUUAGGUUUGAAAUGGUGAAAGUUGGAUUUUUGGAAAGUUUGACUGGGAGUGAACUUUUUUAUAUCGGGGUCGAAUUCCGAUUUUGAAAGUUGGAGUAGGUCUGUAAUGUCAUUUGUGACUUGUGUGCAAAAUUUGGGGUCAAUCGGACUCGAUUUGAUAGGUUUCGGUGUCGUUUGUAGAAGUUGAAAUUCCUUAGUUUCAAUAGGCUUGAAUUGGGGUGCGAUUCGUGUUUUUGAUGUUGUUUGAAGUGAUUUGAGGGCUCGACUAAGUUCAUAUCGUGUUUUAAGACUUGUUGGUAUGUUUGGUUGAGGUACCAGGGGCCUCGGGUUGAUUCCGGAUGGUUAACGGAUCAAUUUUGAACUUGGUGUUGUGGCUGAAGUUUUCUGGUGUCUCUAAUCUGGUUUCCUUGUACGCGAUCUCAUGAAAGGGGCCGCGAUCGCAUAGGCUUGUUUGGAGCAGUGGUGAUUUUUGCCCUAUGCGUUCGCGAGUGGUGGUACGCGAUCGCGUAGAUUUGGUUAGUCAGUGCAUCGCGAACGCGUGAGCAUUGUCGCGUUCGCGAAGUAGAGGAGGCAACUGGUUCUCACACAGUUGUGCUUCGCGAUCGCAGGAGUGGAGACGCGAUCACGUAGGUUAGAGGAAGCAGAGGUCCGCGUUCGCGUUGAGGUCUCCGCUUUCGCGUAGGCCUAAUUUCUGGGGCAGCUGAGUUGUGCUUCGCGAUCGCGAGGCUAUUUCCAAGAUCGCGAUUAAGGAUCACUGGGCAGAACUUUAGAUAUUUCAAAACAAGAGUUUGAGUUCAUAACACAAAAAUUAAUUUGGGAGCUCGGUGGGAGGCGAUUCGUGGAGAGAUUUUUCAAGUAGGUGAUUAAGGUAAAUGAUUCCUACCUAGUUUUGGUUAAUUUUCAUGAUUAUGUCUUUAAUUUCAUCAUUAAAUUAGUGAUUUUGGGGUGGAAAUUUGGGAGGAAAUUCUUAAGUUGGAUUUUAAGGUUUUGAUCGAGAUUUUGGUGUCGGAUUUGGGUAAUUUUGGUAUGGGUGGACUCAUGGUUGAAUGGGCUUCAGGUUUUGUGACGUUUAUCGAAUUUCGAGACAUGGGCUCGCGGGACGAUUUUUGAGUUGAUUUUUGACUUUUGAUUAAUAACUUAGCAUUUUCUUAUGGAGUUGAUUCCUUUAGCACGUAUUGAUUAUAUAGAAUUGUUUAUGGCUAGAUUCAAAGGUCGUUUCGCGAGGCAAGGGUGUGUUGGAGUAGAGUUUUACUCGGAUAGAGGUAAGUAACAGUUCUAAAUUUGGUUUUGAGGGUACGAAACUCAGUAUUAUGUGUCAUGUGAUUGGUUUUGAGGUAACGCACAUGCUAGGUGACGGGCGUAUGGGCGUGCACCAGAGGAUUUGUGGCUUGGCCAAUCAUAUGGAACUGUGUAGUUGAAUAAUCUGGUGUUAUCCGUACAUUUUUUCACUUAUUAGAGAAAUUGAACUGCAAAUCAUGUUAGAAAUCAUGUUUAGACCAUGUGUUGACACUGUGGGGACCCACAUAGGUCGUGUACAUAUUGAAUUAUCUACCAAAUUGUUGUUUUGUACUCAGCCACAGUUUUACUUGCAUAUUACAACUCAGUCUCAAUUGUUCAUUAUUGAUGCAUUAUAUCAUUGUUGUUUGGGCUAGUUAUCAUGAUUUCUGAGAGCCCGAGAGACUGGAGAGGUUGAUGACUGAGUGAGGCCAAGGGCCUGAUUGUGAGGAUAUUUUAUGGGAUCGGGUUGCACGUCGCAAUAUGUUUCAUUGAUAUAUGCCAUGAUUGGCUUGUUAUAGCGCUUGGGCUGAAGGAGCCCCUUCGGAGUCUGUACACACCCCAGUGAGCGCAGGUACCUACCGAGUACGAGUGCCGAGUACGGAGUGCUGAGCGACUGUGAGGAAUGAGUGAUUGUGAGGUUGGAGUGAAUGAGACGACUAAGUGACUGCUGCUUUGUGAGGAUGCAUUUGACUUCAUUAUUUUUGCACUUUAGCUGUCAUAUAUCACUGUCUUGAAAUUUCUGAGAGAUAUUAUCUUCUGUUUCAGUUGAACCUGACAUGAAUUUAUUGUUUUGGCCUUAAUUGUCGAACUUGAAAGCAUGCCUACCUUCCUAUGUUGAAAUCACUGUAAUUAAACUUUAACUGUGAAGCUCGUCACUACUUUCAGUUCUUUAUUUAGUCUUGUUACUUACUGAGUUGGUUGUACUCACGCUACACCUUGCACUUCAUGUGCAGAUCCAAGUGUUUCCGAAACACGGUGGAUGUUGAUUUCAUCGCACAAUUGAUCUUCUGGAGAUUUCAAGGUAGUUGCUCGGCGUUUCGCAAACCUUGUUUCUCCAUUCCUAUCUUUCCUCUUAUUGUAUUUAGUUUCAGACUUUCAUAGACAGUAUUUUCCAGACUUGUGAUGUAUAGUUGCUCAUGUACUCUGUGACACCCCGUUUGUUGGGAACUUUCGCAUUGUGUUUUGGGGUUUCUAUCCCGUUUUAUGAGAAUUUUCAUUGUUUAAACUGCUUUAAUUCCUUUUUUUUAAGUGUUGGAAUAUUGUGGAAUGUCGGCUUGCCUAGUACCGCGUUAGGUGCCAUCACGACAGGUUAUGAUUUUGGGUCGUGACAUCAUAGCACCAUAAUUGAAGUGAAAUUGUUUGUCGCCUUGAUUUUAUUAUUCGGAUAUGUAUUGUUGCUUGGUGAGGAAGAGAGAAAAGCACGAAGAGUGUUGUCGUGCUUUAUUUGUAUUCAUUGUCAUAUAUUGAGAGAUUUGAGAGUAAAAGCAUGAAGGGUGAUGACGUGCUAUUAUAUUCAUGAUAUUACAUGGUGAGGACGAGAGUAAAAGCACAAAGGGUGAUGUCGUGUCAUUCAUCUUCAUUUUAUUGCCUUGUUUGGAUUUCGGUUUUGGUGAUUUAUUUAGUUACAUUAUUUUUUAUUUCGAUGGACGUUUUUUGGUGAUUUCGUAAUUGCAGUUUCUAUGAUAUCUCCCCUUUCGCAUGUCCCCUCCCAGUUGAUAUUUUUAUCGUUCUUGUUAUUUUGUUGCUUUAUAUAUACUUGUACAACCACACAUCUCUAUAACAUCAUCCAUAUAUAAUAGCCAUUCACUAUAAAAGUCAAGUUUUCCUCAGAGCCAAUUUUUAAGUUAUAUUUUACCUCUCUAUGACAGUUUUUUACCUAUAACAACAACAUCCAUAUUUAUAGUAGAACGCCCUUUGUAAAAUUACCCCUCUAUAACAGCCAUAUAGAAUCUUUGAGAUUACUCUCUUUUCUAUUAAAUAAAGUUUCUAUCGUGCAUAAUAUAUAAGAUUUGAAGAUUUGUAAAUAAUAUCUUUUUCAUUGGACAAAUUCCUAAAAAUAUUUAGAUAGAAAAUAUAAUUGUUAAGCUCUUAGAUUGUCUUCAAGAGAAAACAAUUGGAUACGUUUUUGCUAAAAAUUUGGACAUGAAUCUUUACCAAUUCAAGCGUUAUAGCGCUAGUAAGAGAAUAAAAUCUACGAAACAAGCUACAAUUAUAAAGUUCUUCCAUCAAUCUUGAAAAAAAGUAAUUUGUAGGUACCUUUAAAAUAUUUGUCUUAGAGUUUAAAUCUUAUAUAUUUAGUUAAGAAUUUAUUAAUAAUGUAUUAGCUUUCUCAAUAUUUUGACUAGUGAAAUAUGCAUAUCUUUUGAGAUUUUAAAUUUGAAUAAUUUUUAUAUGUAACAUUAAAAAAGAAAAAAUAAUUACUUUUUGGAUAAUUGUUUUUUAUCUAUAACAACAAAAAUAUAUUUAAACUCCAAAUGUUGCUAUAUGUGUAUAACACUCAUUCACUAUAAAAGCCAAAAUAUAUCGGAACAAACGAUAUUGUUAUAGAGAGAGUUGAUUGUACAUGAUUUUUAUGUAGGUGUCUUAUCAUAGCCUCGUCACUACCUCGUCGAGGUUAGGCUCGACACUUACGGAGUACAUUGGGUCGGUUGUACUCAUUCUACACUUCUGCAAUUCUUGUGCAAAUAUUGGUAUCGGUCCCAGCGGUGCUUAGAGGUACGUUGGCUCGGAUCACUUUCACUACGGAGACUCGAGGUAGAUUUGCUGGCGUUCGUAGAUCUUGAAGUCCCCUUCCAUUUCAUAUCUUUAGUGUUUAUCUCUUUCGAACAAUUGUAUUCUUUCAAACUAGGCUUAUAGACUUCUAGUUGUUCAUGUACUUGUGACUCCGGGUUUCUAGGAGUAGUUAGUAUCACGUUGCUUAUAUUCACACCGUGUUAACUUCGGAGUUUAUUUCUCGUUUAAUAUCAUUAUCUUGAAUUAAUCGUUAAAAAUUGAUUAAUUUCUUAUUUAAUGUCGGCUUGCCUAGCAAGUGGAUGUUAGGCGUCAUCACGGUUCCGAGAUUGGGAACUUCGGGUCGUGACAUAUGGCUGUUUGGAUAAUAUUUGGGCGAAGUUAAAAAAAAAUGAAUAUUUGAAAUUGAAGUUGAAGAAAAAUAUUUGGAAGUGGAAAUUAUGUUUAGAUUAUGAGUUUUAUAUUUCUUAAAUUAACUUUUCAACUUCAAAUUUUCUAUUUCAAGUGGAGGUUGAAAUGAAUAAAAUUGUAAAACAAACACCGAUUAGCAAAAUUAAUAAAUCAUUGAUAAGAUGUUAAAAUUUGAGAGUAUAUUUCUUAAGAGAAAAAUAUGUGCUUAGCAUUUAUACGUUGAUAUUUUUUUAAAACAAGAUUAGGUCACUUAUUGUUAAUUACAAAUAAUAGGGUAUAUUAAUCGCGAUUAGUAACAUGAAAAGUAAUGUAUGUACGCACUUCAAUGUAGGUGUAGGUUAAUCUUUUAAAUAAAACUUUAACAUAUAACAUUAUUUCUACUAUUAAUUAUUGAAUUGCCGCGGUUACUUUUUCAAGUGUUGAUAUGAAUAUAUUGAAGUGCAAAUUUAUGGUAUGUUCAACUGUCAUUUUCAUUCACCAUACGACUUAAAUAUUUUAUUUUAGGAAAAUACAUUUCAACAUUUAUCCAUUUUCGUCUAUCAAAAUGUACAUUUAUAACUUUGUUUCCAAAUUAUAUACUUCUGCAUUGUAAAUUUUUAUUUUAAACCUGUGUAUUUAUGGCCUGUUCGCAAAUGAUGAAAAGGAUAUAUAUAAGACAAGAAAAGGAAGUGGAGAAAAUGGACCUCGUAUUCACUGGUCCAAUGUUUCUUCAUCCUUCAUUUUUCAACUGCAAUAACAUUUAAAUUCUGUUGUUUAUCUAGAAACAACCCAAUAUUGACCUUUUCCCAUUUAGGAUAAUUUGAUUUUCAUAAAAGUUAAGCUCUUUUAGCUUUUAACUUUUUGAGUCAACGGCUAGGUUUCAAGAUAUUAUAUCACCUCUCAAACUUUAGAAAAUAUCAUCAAAGAUUGUGAUGAAAUAUUUAAGAUCUUCGCACCUUUCGGUUGUUGGCUCCAUGCAUAGUGUUUUGAUCAUGACACAGAGAUAUUUAUCAAGAUUGUGGUGAGAAUAAAAUAGGGGGAAUUACGCUACUUGUCACUUAGCCCAACCGUCAAACAAAAAAUGACCCAUGUUUGAAGCUCUUACCUGAUAUGGUACAAGUUAUACAUAAUCUGAAAAUUACUUUUCACCAGUAAGUUCACCCUAUUUAAUUUUUUUUUCUUUUCUUUGUUUUUCUUUUUCAUCUUUCACUAUUUUGCACCCCAAAAUUUCUCUACCAUUAUAUUUAUUCAAUUAUCCUUCCAGAUUCAAAGUUGAUAACCACUAUUUAGAUGAAAAGAAAAAAUACUACGUAAGAGAAUUUAUUUUUUGGAGUCACCAUUAAAGGUCGUUCGAAGCUUUCAAUUUCAGAAAUUGGAUUUUUCGAUUUUGUUAGGUGUUUGGAUUGGGUGUCGUCCCAAUUGAUUGGGAUCAUCAAGGGAAGUUCAAAACUCAAAUUUGAAGUGAUUUGAAGCAGAUUUAAGUUAGAUUUGAGUUGAAUUUCAGAAGAUGCCCCGGGAAAAAGAAGAACCCGUGGAGCUCCAUUAAUAGGAUUCAUUUGUAUAAUAGUAUAUAAUAUUGUAUAAAUAAUGUAUAAUAGUAUAUAAACACCUCUUAUAUAUUAUUUUAUACAAGGUUGAUACAUUAUUUACAAGUAUUUGGUGAAUUUCUCACAUUUCUUCUUCUUCUUCUUCUUCUUCUUCUUCUUCUUCUUCUUCUUCUUCUUCUUCUUCUACUACUACUACUACACCUAUAUACAUAAUGUAUCACUAAUAUUUUCACAAUGGUGCUUAUACAUCUUUAUACACUUUUACAGCUAUAUAUAAUGUACCUCUUUGUAUAAAAGUGUAUAAUAUUGUAUAAAAGUGUACUGGCGAAAUUUUUGUACGAUUUUCACUUGCAAUUCUUGUUUAAAACUAGUUCAAAUCCCCAUCAAACGAACUUCAAACUUUGUAUACAGCCUACUUAGACUAUUUCUAAUAAGUUCAAACAAUGCCCGCUUCAAAUUUCUCUCAAAAUUAUAUUCAAAAUUUAGCAAGAUUAGCAUUAAAGGAGAUAGGAUUUUAGAUUUCUCGAUUUAUUUAUUUAUUUGCAUUUUUUUAGGUGUGAUAGGUAUGUAGAAACUUGAGGAAAAAGGAGAAUGGAAACUCACGGAUGUUUCACGCCUGAAAAUAUAGAGAAUAAAAAAAAAAAAAAAACAGAUCUAAGCUUCUUAAUAUUUGGCUAUACAUUUACAAACUUGUAAGUGGGCUAAAGUACUGCAAGGUCAACUUAUGGAGUGCAUUAUUCUGUAAUUUUGUCAAUAAAAUAAUAUACUUGCUCACUUUCCUAGCCAUUAACGUUUUAAGGUUAAAAAUCUAUUUUUGUCUUUCUUAUCUGUAUUUUGUGUGCUAUUUCUUACGUCCCGACAAAGAACCUCCAUUUCAAGCCUCGAACUCUUAUUUAUAUUUAGUUCGAACAAGAGCGAUCAUCCUUAAAAUUAGAAUUCUCUUUUGAGCCUUGUGUACAAAAAUAAUCUUGAUAAGAGUACUUGCCGUUUAAUGAGUCUCUUUGAAUUCGAAUUGAUCCAAAGUUUCAAUUAGAAUACCAAAUGAGAAAUAAAAAAUGUUCUUGAAAGUAAUAUAAAGUAUCAAACUAUUUUUCAUUAUAUUUUCGUAGAACAAAAAGUAAGGAAAGAGGUCUUAAUAGUAAGGAAUAAGACGAUCCUUUGUUGUUACUAGGUUAUAAAAUAUUCAUUGUUAUAAAUAUAUUAUAUUAUGGAUGUUCAUUUAGUACUAUGUUGUAAAUAAGCUUUCUGAAAAAGCUUAUCUAUAUGGGACUCCGCCGUAAAUAUGUUUAUCUAUUUAGUACUCUAUUGAAAAUAAGCCUCCUGAAGAAGCUUAUCCUUUCGGUACUCCGUUAUAGAUAUUAUCUAUAUCUGGUAUAGUAGCAGCUUACAAGUAGCUUACACAGCAGCUUAGAGUAGCAACUUACAAGCAGCUUACACAACAGCUUACAAGCAGUUUACAAAGUAACUUGCAGUAGCAGCUUACACAACAACUUCCUUUCUUCUAUAAAUAGAGGAGAAUUCAGUUCAUUAUGUACAUCAAUUUGAAGUUGAAUAAAAAUAUCAAUCUCCCUCUAUACUUGUUUUCGAUUUAUUUACUUUACAAUCUUUAUUUUAUAACACUUUAUCAGCACGAGACUCUACCAUAUCGAGCACUUACUUUGAAUUUAGUUUUUCUAUUUCAGGAUAAGAAGUAAUUCAAAGUCACAAUAGUGAGGGAAUUAAUAGAUGGUGCCCAACAUAGAAAAUCUAGAAGAAAAGCAAGUCUCUACAUCGUUGGAGAAAUCAAAGGCUUAGCUUGUAUAUUUCCAGCUAUUAUGAUUAUUUGGUGUUGAAGCACUGAUUGCUCGGAGGUAUCAAGUAUUAUUUAUUUCAUUAAUUACUCAUCUUAGCUACUAAAUGUGUUAUAAAGAGCAAUCAUGCAUAUCAUGUAAGAGAGAAAAUUUGUAUCGGUGUAUGCGUAUGGCUAAUGAUUGAAAGAGAUUUGUCACCUCCAAAAGGUGAUUUUUUUUAAAUCCAGCCAAUCUUCCUAUUAUCACUAGGAGUGACAAAUAUUGUGAGAGGCAACAAAUUUGCUCCUGCAGAUCAUCGCUUGAACUCCAGUAGAGUUCAUGAGAAAUGUAAGAUCACUAGAAGUGAUUAUAUAUUUUAUAUCGUCUUAUUGUAACUAACUUUUGUUAACCACCAGAAGUGGUAUAUGCCUAUGACCACCAGAAGUGAUAAUUUAGGCUUUCUAUGGUUACAAUUAAAGAUAAGCUAGAGAAAUAUUCUCUAUAUUACAUGCACGCCUCGAUUUGAUCCUAAAGUAGUAAAUAUUUUAAAAGAAGUUGAAGCAUCACAANNNNNNNNNNNNNNNNNNNNNNNNNAUUACAAUUCACAUCCAUAAGAGUUAAUAUGAUUGAGAGAAUAUAUACUCAAUAUUUCGUAUUUUAAAUUUGCUCCUGAAGAAGUAACACAAUUAAAAUUUCCUCCUGAAGUAAGAAAAUAUUAUGAAGAGGUGUUUUCUUGUGCUUAAAUAAUUGUUUUAUAUUUUAUUUGAUUAUGAUUUUCUCUCAUGAUACCAGAAGUGUCUGAGCAAUAUUUGGUAGUAUAAAAUUUAUCAAAAGCUCCUGGAGAGCUAACUGUUUGUCUAGAAGACACAUGACACAAGUAGUGCCUGAAUAAUAUUUGAUUGUAGACAAUAAAUUGAAGGCUCCCGAAGAGAUUAUAUGCAAAUUUGUCAUUUAUAUUAGAUGAUUAUGGUCAAAACAUAUGUUGUAGUAAACCUAAAAUUUACUAAUAUAAAUUGCUAUCAUAUUGAGACUACAAAUAAUUGGAAGAUUGAAAAUCUUUAUGUUUCCACAAUCAUACGGAAUAAAAUAAUAUGUAUGUGAGAAGUUUACUAAUGCAAAAGCAGUCACAGUAAAUCAGAAGUUUUACUAAGGCAAAAGUAGCUGCAGUAAAUCAGAAAUUCGCUGAUACAAAAGUAGCCACAGUAAACCAGAAGUUUACUAAUGCAAAGGCAGUUACAGUAAAUCAGAAAUUCGUUGAUACAAAAGUAGUCACAAUAAAUCAGAAGUUUACUAAUGCAAAAACAGUCACAGUAAAUCAGAAGUUUUACUGAGGAAAAAGUAGCUAUAGUAAAUCAUAAAUUCGCUGAUACAAAAGUAGCCACAGUAAAUCAGAAGUUUACUAAUGCAACAAGUUUAUGCCAUAGUAAACCAGAAGCUUACUAAGAUAUAGCACAUGCUAUGAUAAACUUGAAGUUUUUAUUUGCCAUUUUUAAAUGAGCCAUUUGAGAAUUCAGAUAAGAAUAUACUGAAGAACUAGAAGGUUCUUCAAGAAUUCUCUUGUGUUGUUUGUUCUCAUAAUAAAUUGAUUAUACCAGCUAAAAUUGGGACUAAAAUCCAUGAAUUCUGAAAUAUAUAAAUGGUGAAUAUGGGUCCAUUCACUUAUCAUGUGAACCACUUAUAAAUGCAUAUAUGAGAUGGUUACAUGUGUCUUUAUUGUCAACCUGCAGUUUGGCAUUUGAAAUUGCCUUUCUCAAUUAAGAGCAUAAUUUUCAGAUUAUGAAAUCAAGAUAGUUCAUCUUGAUGAUGUUGGUUUAUAUCCAAACUACUUUAGCAUUGAAUACCUCCUAUUAAUGGUUAAACCGUUGAUUAUGAGAACAAAGCCUCAUGUGUUGGUCUAAGAUUUUUUAAAUUGCAUACAACAAUACUUGUAUGCAUCAGACCAAUAAAAUAUGAUAAGUCAUCCCCUCACAAUUGGUUUAGGAUCAGAAACCAAAUAUUUUUACCAUCUAAUAACUUUUGAUGUGUGGUAUAUGAUUAAUUUCUCUACCACAAUGCACAAAGAUAGGCUUCCCAAAGAAGAUUGGGGAUAUGAGUUUGUUUUUCUAACAUUUGGAGAUGGAAUAAACAGCUAGAAAAUAUGCUAUAUGAAUCGAAUUAUCAUUAAUAUGAUCCUCAUUUAGAAGAUAAUUCAAGUCAAAUGCCAGAAGCAUUUGAUGAUCUAAAAUUAAAUAUCAUAUUUAAGCUGCAAAUGCUCCUAUUAAAAUUAAAGUCCCUGAAGGAUAAAGUUUACUGCAUGCAUGAAGCAUAGUAAACCGAUCGGUUUCAAAGGUAACAAUCAUUAAAAAUUAUAGGAGCAAAUGAGUUUUAGAAGAGCCCACGACAUAACAUUUCAUGAAACUCUAGAAGAAGUUUAGGUACCUGAAAAUAAAGAAAGUGAUGAGAUCUCAACAAGUUAUGUUGCUUAGGAACCGAUAAAAAAUGAUCGUCGACGAUAUAUUUGAUACAAUAUAGUUCACAAUAUUAUAAAAGAUUGUGAGGAUCGGACCUGUAGUCCAGACACCUGAAGAUGUCAUGCCAUUUAAAUGCAAGUCAUAACCUAUAUGACUCAUUUGAUUAAGUCUAUAUGAAUAUCCCUUGACGAUUUAAAAUGCCUAAAGCAUAUAAUUCAAAGUAUCGUGAAAUGUACUCAAUAAUAUUACAAAAAAAAAAUUAUGGGUUAAAUCAAUCUGGGCGCAUGUCAUAUAAUCGCCUCAGUGCAUAUUUGCUGAAAGAAGGUUACAUAAAUGAUGUUAUUUGUUCAUGUAUUUUUAUAAAGAAAAUGACAUCAGAAUUUGUUAUACUUGUUGUUUAUGUUGAUGACAUAAAUCUUGUUGGAACUCUAGAAGAGUUCCAAAAAGGCAAUUGAAUAUCUUAAGAAAGAAUUUGAGAUGAAAGAUCUUAAAAAGACAAAACUUUGUCUUGAUCUGCAAAUUGAAUAUUUAGCAGAUUGGAUCUUUAUCCAUCAAUAUGCCUAAAGAGAAAGAUCCUUAAAAAGGUUUUACAUGGACAAAGUGCACCCAUUAAGUACAUCGAUGGGUGUUCGAUCACUUGAAAUAAAUAAGGAUCCGUUCCGACCUCCAGAAGAGGAUGAGGAACUCAUUGGUCCUGAAAUACUUUAUCUCAGUGCAAUUGGUGCACUUAUGUAUCUUGCUAAUGCUAACAAAGGUGGUGCAUAUCGUAUUGGUUAUACAGAUGGAGAUAAUUUAUCUGAUCCCUAUAAAGUUCGGUCUCAAACUGAGUAUGUGUUUACAUGUGGAUGUACUGUCAUAUCAUGGCGCUUCACAAAGCAAUCUAUUGUUGCUACUUCUUCAAAUCAUGCUGAGAUAAUAGUUAUUCAUGAAGCAAGUAGGGAAUGUGUAUGGUUGAGAUCAGUGAUUCAUUUUAUUCAAGAAAAAUAUGGAUUGGAAUGCAAUAAAAAACCCACAAUAUUAUACGAAGACAAUGCUACAUGCAUAGCCCAAUUAAAAGGAUGAUUUAUAAAAGGAGAUAGAAUAAAGCACAUUUCACCAAAAUUAUUCUACACACGUGAUCUUCAGAAAAAUGGUAACAUCGAUAUGCAACAAAUCCGUUCAAGUGACAAUCCAGGAGAUUUGUUCACUUUGCCAACUUCAACUUUUGAGAAGAUGGUAUACAAGAAAGAUUGGAAUGCGAAGACUCAAAUAAUUGGAACAAGGUUUUCAUCAGGGGGAGUGAAAUAUGCGUUGUACUCUUUUUUCCUUACUAAGGUUUUUCUCAUGGGUUUUUUCUUGUAAGAUUUUUAAUGAGGCAGCUAGAAUUGCGUAUUACUAAAUAUGUGUACUCUUUUUCAUUCACUAGAAUUUUUCUCAUUGGGUGUUUCCUAGUAAGGUUUUAACAAGGCACAAUAUCUUUUAAUGAACAUCAAAGGGGGAGUGCUAUAAAUAUAUUAUAUUAUGGGUGUUCAUUUAGUACUCCGCUGUAAAUAAGCUUCCUGAAGAAGCUUAUCCAUAUGGGACUCCGCCGUAAAUAUGUUUAUCUAUUUAGUACUCUGUUGGAAAUAAGCCUCCUGAAAAAGCUUAUCCUUUCGGUACUCCGUUAUGGAUAAAUAUUACCCCAGGUAGAAGAUUAUCUAUAUCUGGUACAGUAGCAGCUUACAAGCAGCUUGCACAAUAACUUACAAGAAGCUUACACAACAGCUUGCAGUAUGUCACGACCCCAAAUCCACUAGCCGUGAUGACACCUAACCCAACUCGCUAGGUAAGCCAACUAGUAACUAUCCAAUUUCAAUGAUAUUAACAAGACAAAUAAACGAUAGUAAUUUACUGAAUUUUAUACAUUUCUCAAGGACUGGUAGUACAAAUCAUAAGCUUCUAAGAAUAGAGUUUACAAAGCUAAAAUGAAAUAAAUACAUAGUCUGUUUGAAAAGUACAUAAACCGAGUUUUAUAGAUCUAAAGCAACCACGAACAAGGGGCAGCUACAACCAGGACGCAUGUACAUCUUCAAUCCAGCUCCCAUCGAACACAGCAACAACAACAACCAACAUCUGCACGCAAGGUGCAGAAGUGUAGUAUGAGUACAACCGACCCCAUGUACUCAGUAAGUAACAAACCUAACCUUAGGUUAAAAGUAGUGACGAGCUAACACAAGAUCGGGUACAAUACCAAUAUUCCACAACAGUUCAUAACAACAUAAUACAUGUAAUAAGAGAUGUAUCUCAGAAGUAAAAUGCUCAUCUCGUUCAAAAUUCCAGAAAAUAGUCAUGCUUUUCAAGUAUCUUAGUGAAAACCCAAAUCCUUUACCGAAAAUGUCAAAAAUACGAGUAAGUUUGAAAACUGUAAUUUUUUUCCAAAUAUCCAUUCCACAAUAUAUAAGAUGUUUCAUUUUCUUUCCAGAUAGCAAGUGUGAAAUACCUCUCUAUACCCACAUAUCAAUGUGUGUAAAAAAAAACGUCAUGAAUGACGUGAUACCGUAUAGCACGAGAAAAAAAUGCAUUUUUAUGCCUGUAUGUCAUGUGUGCAUGUCAAUGCCAUGCAUCUCAUAGAUGAAUCAUGUAUUCACACUCUCAGAGUAUUCAAUCUCACUGUCUCGCAUCCUCUCUCACUAUGCUCAAAGCUCAGCACACUCAAUCACUCAGCGAUGUACAAUACCCGUUGCGUCGUGUAACCCGAUCCACAUAUGCAUAGUUGACUGCGCCCACUUAGGUGUGUAGACUCUGCAGGGGCUCCUUCAUCCCAAGCGCUAUAUCGCUGCGGCGUGCAGUCCGAUCCCAAAAAAAUGUAAUCAAUAUAUCGAUGCGGCGUGCAACCCGAUCCCAUAAAAUAUAAUCAAUAUAUCGCUACGGCGUACAGCCCGGUCCCAUAAAAUGUAAUCAAUAUAAUAUGUUGCGGCGUGCAGCUCGAUCCCAAAAUGUCACUCUCACUCAGGCCCCCGGCCUCACUCAGGCAUCAAUCUCUCCAGUCUCACUCACGGGCUCACAAUGUCAUGAAACUAGCCCGACAAUAAUGAUAUGAUGUAUCAAUAAAUAAUAUCCGAGACUGAGUUAUGAUAUGAAUGCAUGGAUAUGACUGAAUACGAAAUAUCAAUAAAAUCAGUGAGAUGACAGUAAGAAACGACCACUCGGGGUCCAAACAGUAUAAGCAUAAUGCCUAAACAUGAUAUUUAGUAUGAUUGACAGCUUAACUACUUUAUCACAUGGUGGAAACACGGAUAUUAGCAAAGUAGGACCACUAAAUAGUGCCAUAGAAGCAGCAGAGUCCCAAUUCACAUGGUACACGCCCACACGCCCGUCACCUAGCAUGUGCGUCACCUCAAUACCAAUCACAUAACACAUAUUGCGGGGUUUCAUUCCCUCAGCACUAAGUUUAGAAGAGUUACUUAGCUCGAACGAGCCAAUACCAAUGUCGAGCAAGCCAAGCGAUACUCCAAAGAUGCCAUCACGCGUGUAGUGACAUCCAGACGACUCAAAACUAGUCAAAAGCAACUCAAAUACAUCAAAUAAAGCCCAAGGAAAUAAUUUCAAAUGAUAAAGAUCGAAUCCUUAAUCAAAACCCAAAACUGGCCAAAAAUUACACCUGGACCCACGCAUCGGAACCCGACAAAACUCACAAAAUCCAACAACUCAUUCAAUUACGAGUCCGACCAUUCUAGCUUCACUCAAAUCCGACCUCGAAUCGAUGUUCAAAAUUCAAAAAUUCAUAUUAUGAAACUUUAGGCUCAAACCCCAAUUUCCUCUUUAAAAUUCACAAUCCAAUUACCAAAAACGAAGGUAGAUUCAUGAAAUAUAACCAAAACCGAGUAGAGAAUACUUACCCCAAUUCAUAUGGUAAAAAUUGCCUAAAUCUGAGCCCCAUAGCUCCCAAAAUGAAGAAAGAACCAAAACUCUCGAUAAUAUAGCUUCUGCCCAGCCAUUCCGCAUUUGCGGACAAUUCGUCGCAUCUGCGGUAAAAAUUUCGCUUCUACGAAAACAACUGACCCAGCAAAUCCCUCGCACCUGCGGCCUUUAAGCCGCUUCUGCGGUUUCGCAGGUGUGUCCAAGCACCCGUACCUGCAAUCCUCACGCCCAGCUCCCCUUCACGCUUCUGCGACUCCUAUGUCGCUUCUGCAACCAUCGCACCUGCGCAAAACCAGCCGCAUGUACGAUCACACCAGAACCAGCAGCCUUCAGCAAAAAUCCAAAAUGCAAUGAAAUGAUCCGAACCUCGUCCGAAACUCACCCGAGCCACUCGGAACCCCGUCCGAAUAUAUUAACAAGUCCAAUAACAUAACAGAGGCCUAUUCGAGGCCUCAAAUCACAUAUAACAAUAUCAAAAUGACGGAUCACACCUCAACUCGAAAUCAAUGAACUUUGAAACUUCGAACUUCCACAACCGAUGCCGAAACUUAUCAAAUCACGUCCGAUUGAUUUCAAAUUUUGUACACAAGUCUCAAAUGACAUAACGAAGCUAUUCCAAUUCCCGGAAUCAUAAUCCGAAUCCAAUAUCAAAAGGUUCACUCCCGGUCAAACUUUUCAAAAAUUCAACUUUUGCCAUUUAAGCUAAAGUCCACUACGGACCUCCAAAUCGCAAUCCGGACGCGCUCCUAAGUCCAAAAUCACCUAACGGACCUACCAGAACCAUCAAAACUCCGUUCUAGGUUAAAAUUUACAAAAAGUCAAACUUGGUUAACUCUCCCACUUUAAAGUUUCAACAAUGAAAUCUAUUUUUCCAAUUCGAUUCUGAAUAACCUGAAAAUCAAAACCGACGAUUCACAUAAGUCAUAAUAUAUUAUACGGAGCUACUCAUGUCCGUAAAUUAUCGAGCGAAGUGCAAAUACUCAAAACAACCGGUUGGGUCGUUACACAGUAGCAGUUUAUAAGCAGCUUGUAGUAGCAACUUCAUUUCUUCUAUAAAUAGAGGAGAAUUCAGUUCACUAUGUACAUCAGUUUGAAAUUGAAUAAAAAUAUCAAUCUCCCUAUAUACUUGUCUUCGAUUUAUUUACUUUACAAUCUUUAUUUUAUAACAUUCAUAUACUUUUGCUGCAAAAUAAUUGGCAUUAUUGUUUUCGCACAGUGUAUUUACAUCAUUCAAUUCAAAUUUGAGAAAAUUCAAUAUUUACCGCAAAAAGGGUUAAAAUGAAUAGAAUCCAGCUAGAGAAUUAUUUUCGGAAAAUAAUUUUUUCGGAAAAUAAUUUCUGGAAAAAUUGACAUAUUGGAUUGCUUAGGUGGAUGACUAUGUAAGUAAAUCUAAUCCAAUUAGACUGACACAAAACUAACAGUUUAAGAGUGAUUCAAAAAAUAGACGGGAUAUUUUUGAUACAAAAAACAAACAAAUUACAUUUUUGAUUUUGAGCUAUUUCAGUUAGUUAGUGGCAUUUUUGGCCCUAUUCCGUUUAAACGAAGAACACAAAGCUUUGAUCAAAAGACAAAAAAGCUACCACGGUGGAUGCACUGUGUUUUCUCACUUUGCCACAUCAUCCUCUCUAUUCCCCGCCCCCACCGGCCGCUACUCCACCGGCAAGUCGCCGUCGGCGAACUCGUCGGAUCUUCUAAAACCCUUCGAAUUUUUAUAUCAUUCAUAAAAUGAGUCGAUAACGCUUGCUUUACUCGCAGAUCUAAUUCAGUGUCGCAAUAAGUUGGAAGGAUUUGUAAAAGCAGUAUAUCAAUUUACUAAUGGCUGCGCCGAAUAUGGAUCAAUUUGAGGCCUAUUUUCGGCGAGCUGAUUUCGAUCAGGAUGGUCGGAUCAGUGGCCCUGAGGCUGUUGCCUUUUUCAAAGGCUCCAAUUUGCCUCAACCAGUCCUCGCUCAGGUUUUUUCAUUUCUGCAUUUUGUUUUUUUGCCACCUGCCGUUUAAUAAGAAGAAAUAGAAUUAAUAUAAUUUUUGUUAUGCUACUAAGUUUUCAUAAUUAGGCAAGCUGGUCCUGUUUCAAUGCGCUUAAGUUUGAACUGUUUCACAUAGCCAUGAAGUUCACGUGAUUGCUACGUACUUCAAUUUUUUUUUUCUUGCUCUAUUGUUUGAAGCACGUUAGGUAUAAUUUUUUAGAUCAUUUUAGCUGCUAAUUUUGUCGCAUGAUAGGUAUAAGGGGGUGCGCUGAGAUGGAAUAUAUGGUUAUUCAGUUGUUUGGCAAAAAGUAAGUUUUUGCAGUUAUUAUACCGAACUAAUUUUCAGGAACUUGAGGAAUUAUGAUAAUGGAUAAUAGAUACUGAAAAGUUUCUUCCAGUGGUGAGAUGAUUUUUUUUACAAGAACUGUCACAACCAUAGCUAUGUUUUGAUAAUUUGAAACCUUCAGUUUCAAUUCUAAUAAUACAUAAUAGUGGUCCACAAACUGAGGGAAAGAAGAAAGAGCUUACUGGUGAAUCCAGGACCUAGUUAGUAAAAUAUGUUUUAGUAAACUUGAGCAGAGGAAAAAGAGUGACAAAUAACUUUGUGGUUCAGCCUGUGAUUGUUGAACCGUGUCUCGAUAUUCUAGCUGGUGUUGUAUUAAGUAGCUCUGCAAUUAAUAUGCUGCUUGCUAGAAGUCAGGUCUAGGUAUCAAGUUCAACAUAGUCAAGUUGGGGAAGAAGUAGUUUGUGUAGUCUCUCUGACUCUUGUUAGAUAUCUGGAGCUAUCGAUGUACUAAUGUUAUUUUUAAUACUAAAUUUCACAUUUUCUUUUGCUUUAUGUAGAUAUGGACCUAUGCUGAUCAAAGUCGUACUGGGUUCCUUGGUCGCCAAGAAUUUUAUAAUGCUCUUAAGCUCGUCACAGUGGCACAAAAACGAGAGUUGACUCCAGAAAUAGUGAAGGCUGCACUAUUCACUCCAGCUUCAGCUAAAAUUCCUGCCCCCCAAAUAAACCUUGCAGCUGUACCCGUUCCCCAACCAACUAAUAAGGUUGGGGCUGCAGUUCCUCCAGUUAGUGGUGCUACUCCAACAGCAUCUCAAACUUUUGGCAUUAGGGGUCAACAAGGCUUACCAGCUCAGCAAAGUCAUUACAUGAGGCCUCCUCGGCCCUCGAAUCCAAGCCCUGGUUUCCAAUCUCAACCAAAUAUUUCUGGUCAAGGAAUGCUAGUUGGAAGUACUGUUGUAGCUUCUCGCCCUCCCAGUUCCACUGAUUUGCCUGCUGGUCGGAAUGGUGGCUCACAAGCAGGUCCUGGUUCCCAAGCCCCAAAUACAAGUGUCAGUUCUAGAAGUCAGGAUGCAUUUGGUCUUGUUGCAUUGACGCCUUCUGCACAACAAACCCAACAAGCAACCACGUCAUCACUGCAACUAGAUCUAUCAAAAUCAAAUGAUGCAACUUUGUCGCAUGGUAACCUGCCUGAUGCUAAAGUUCCUAAAGCCGUUCCAGUGGCAGGAAAUGGAUUUCCAUCGGAUUCACUCUUUGGAGAUGUUUUUUCAGUUGCGUCAGUUCAACCCAAGCAAAGCUCCACACCAACUAUAUCUUCCGCAGUUUCAUCAGCCACAGUCCCAACACCUACAGGGCCCCAACCUCCUAUAAAGGCUAGCUCAGUUGAUUCGCAGACUACACUUCCUCAGCAACCGGUUCACCAGCACCAGCAAGCUCAUUUGAUUGUGAGACCGAACCAACAGUUUCAAGUGCAAAGUUCUGCUGCAAUUCCUAGUGCAGCUAGAAAUUCUCUUCCAGGCCAGUCUCAGCUUCCGUGGCCAAGGAUCACGCAGUCUGACUAUCAGAAGUAUAGCAAAGUAUUUAUGGCAGUGGACACAGACAGGGAUGGAAAAAUUACUGGCACGGAGGCACGGAGCCUGUUUCUAAGUUGGAAGCUGCCUCGAGGUGCGAUUUGCUCUCUCUGAUUUAGCUCUUAGAUUCCGUGUCCUUCUGUUCGAUCCUUCUUGUUACUAAGAGUAAGCGCUUAGGUUUGUUACCUCUUGAACUGUUUAUUGGAUUCAAACUGCUCAAAACUUCAGCAAAUGGUGCAAUUCUAUCCUUUUCUGACUUAUGUUUACUUCUCUUGUUAGUUUUUCCCUUUCUCUUGAUAUUUACUUCACUUUACUUGUCUUAGGGAAACCAACUUGAGUUUGCUUAUAUAGAAAGAGUCAUUGAAAAGGAAAUGGUUGUCGAAAAGUUGUCGGAAAAUUUUGGAUUGCCGGAAGCCCACAGGGCUUUGGUAUAGUGGUAAGAGCGCAACUUGUGAUGUGUGGGUUAGACGCACGUCACAGGUUUGAACCCUGCUGCAGACAAAAGCCUGGUGUUUAAGUGGAGAAGGAUAGAAUGACGGGCCCAUUAUCCAUCGAGUUUCAAACCGUGCGCCAUUGGCCCUCAGAGACUUCUCAGUCACCAAAAAGAAAAAACAGUUUGGAUCUCCGGAAUCUCACUGGAAGAGUUGUAGUCACUGUCUUGUGGAAGAAAUUUUAAUUUCCAGAAUCAAAUUUUUGCUGCUGGAUCAUUGGUCGGAGUAUUAGUAGGAUGGACUCGGUGCCAUUAGAACUAUCACUUUGAAAGAGCCAUGGCACUGUGUACUAUUUGGAUGUAGAGAUUCCCCAUUACGUCUAAAUAGUUUAGUAAAAAGACAUUCUACCUAUGCCAAAAUGUCCUGUUAUUGGACAAGUCCUCACUGAUGGAUUGAGCCAGUUGUCAUCUGUAGAUUAGUUAUUGGUAGAAGUUGCCUUGCCAUAAAGAAUCUUAACGUCAUAAUAGCAGUACUCUGUCCAUUAAUUUUACAUGCUGGACACGGAGAUUAAGGAGUUAAUUUGAGUCCCAAUCGUAUUUCUAGAGAUAGAAGAAAAUAAUUGUGUUACUUUGUAUAUAAAGUAGGUCCUGUGGACACUGCAUUAUUGCUUGUUAAAAGGUGUAAUUCACUCUGUUGAGCACCUUACAAGUGGGUGAGUUUGGAUUAAGCUACAAAUGGAUUGCGAGAAAAAGUGGGACUUGAGGAUAACAACAUUGAGCAUAAGAUUUUUUUUUGAUAAAGACCAUUGAUUACUAAAGACACAUUUGGACCAUGUAUGCUAUUGAAGUGAGUAAUAAUCUGAAACUUACUGCGACUACCAUAAUUACUUGUAAUAUCCUAAAAAACAAAUAUGAAAUAUAAUUUUUAUGAUAAUAAGAAAGUCGUCGUAUAGAGUAUAAACUGGACAGAAAAUGGAAUUCACCAAGUACAUUCUUCCCUGAACAAAGAAGUUCCAUUCUUGGGGCUUUUACUUUAGGUUUCCUAGCUUUACAGUUUCCGUUCAACAGCUAGUAGCUUUUGCAACAGAAACUUACAAUGUUAGUAAACAGUAGUGGUAGAGCAUACCAUGUUAAAAAAAGGAACAGCAAAUUAGUGGUAAAGCAUAUGAUUCUCACUUCUUUGAGACUUGUCGCUACAAUUGCUUUGAGGCAUUGUACUUGCUGUGUCACAAUGCUAAGCUAUUGGUCACUUGGCUCUUUGGAACAUUGUUUGUACGACCUACUUAGAGUGUGAUAGCAUAUCUCUUACUCUUUUGAGAAUCUUGCCUACAAUUAUCUUAGAAUAUCUUGGUCUCUAUCUUAAAGCCAAACUGGUGUUUACUUGGUCCUUUGGGACAUUAAUGCAGUUUGCUUUUGGUUUAUCAGAGGUCUUAAAACAGGUGUGGGAUUUAUCGGAUCAAGACAAUGACAGCAUGCUUUCUCUGAGGGAAUUCUGCAUUGCACUUUACCUGAUGGAGCGGCACAGGGAAGGUCGCCCUCUUCCUUCAGUCCUUCCAGCUAAUCUUAUCUUUGACGAGUCGUUAUUGCCUGCUUCUGGUCAGCCUACAGGAACACAUGGUGCGACAGCUUGGAGACACACAUCAGGUAUAUUUCACCCUUUUUACACUAUGCACAUAUAUGUUUUGGACAUGGUUUGUGAGCAGUGGUGGACCCGGAAUUUUAUACAAGCGGGUUCAAUCUGAAAAGACGAUAAAUAAAAAUAUGGACGUCGUUGUGCCCGACAAAUGUGAUUUAUGUAUGUGCAUUCCUUUUCCCCUAUUCAUAACUCGGACUCAAGGUGAAACCAUUUUGAACUUGGAGUUGGCGCUCGCUAGUUAUUAAAUAACGUUGAAUUUUUUAAUUUGUUUUAACAAAAACUAUAAAACUUUAAUUAAAUAUUUGUAAUUAUCUAUCUAAUUUAAUUUAAAUUUGAAAAAUAUCAACUGCCUUUUAAACUUAAAAAAAUCUAUUUAAUAAUUCUAAAUUUUUUAUUGAACUCUAAGAAAAAUCUAUUUCUUGUUUAUAAAUAGCAAAGUUGUUAUUUACUGAGAAGAAGACAACAAAUAUAAAGAGUUAUAAACAUUUUAACACAAAUUAUUAAAGAAAAGCAACUUAUAAGCUAACGAUUCCAAUGGAAUCCAAAACAUUUAAUUUGAACAUAAGCUAAAUCAAUAAAGUAUAAAUAAUAUAAAAACAUUAUACUUGCAUAUUUUAACAAAUUUAUUAAAUAGAAGCAAAAUCACGAAGUUUUAAUUUCUUAAAACGUAAAAUGAACUUUUAAAUGACUCUUAUUGGAUGAGAAUAAAGAAAACAAGUAAAAUACAUACAUUUGCAAAGUCAAAUAGAAAGAAAAGGAAAAGAAAAAGAAGUGAAAUAGAAAGGAAGGAAAAACUAGGACGGAUGGAGUAAAGACGUAAAACUCACGCACGAAUCACAUAUAACCACAGAACAAUAGCAGCAGGGAUUCGAAAUCACGACCUUCUUGAAAUAUAUGAACCCGCUUUGCCAUCUUUCCGCUUCUGUAUCUUCGGUCAAGCGGAUUCAAUACAUUACAAAUAAUGAACUAUAUAAAAAGUUUUAUUUUAUUGAUAAUGGGAAAGCGAGGUAUACCAAAAAGUAGAUAAUAUACAGAAAGGUAUGAUUCUCUAUGAAAGACAUCCAAUCUUCUAUACAAUAGAUCGAAGCACUGAAAGAUGAGACAAUAUCGAAGUAAAACAUAUUUCACAGAUUGUACUGGUUUUUGAUGUUGGCAUCUUUUUUUGCCGUAGGUUUAAUUCUGUUUGUUGUCCUAGUGACGCGGAAUGUAUUUUUACUUUGGGGCUUUAUUCAAACUAUGUUAUCCUUUUUCUGGUUGUAGAUUUAUGUACUAUUUAAAUAAAAAAGAACAAAAACAGUAUUUCUGGAAUGGAGGAGUGUUAUGCGAUAGGAAAAACCUACAAAAGUGAAAGACAAGUUGAACAUAAUGGUUAUGAGACCAGACUUCAUCAAAGAAAUAAUGGUUAUGUGACCAGCCAGUUGAGCAUUAGGCAUCUAAGGCCCAACAUAUUCACAAAAUGUAAAAGGUGAAUAAUAAGAUAUAUGUGCAGUCACACAUUAUUAAACAAUAUAUGAAAUGAGCACAUCUGAUAUAAAGUACAAGUAGCACUCAGAUGAUAAAACGAAAUAUGGUCACUUGAGAUGGUAUGACCAUGUCAUACGUAGCAGUAUUCUUAGAGGCUUGCUUAAGGCGCAUUUAAGUUUUGAAGCUAGCUAAUCAGGUUCUGCACAUUCGCCUUGCUUGGGUGGAGCUAUAUUGCAGGCAUCGUUGUAUUAAGGCAUUACGAUACCAACACUAAGUAAUAAAUAUUGUUGGUAGAGUGAUAAAUUGUUAACAAUACAUUAUGAAUGAACUGUUUAGUAAUUAGGAAUAACAAAUUAUAAAUCUAGCAUAAGAAAACUAAUCGCUGUAAACUUCAUCUUUACAUCUAAAUAAAAGAUGUUAAAUGUUUCUUGAACUUGAUUGACGUGAUGUUUUACUUCAUGUAUUUCUCUUAAUUGUAGUUUUUUAAUUGUUCUAUCCUAAUCCUUUUCUCCCAUUUAUUAUUAGUUUUUCUUGUAUUACAUAUAUGGUUUUCUUUUUUUCUUCAUUAGUUCCUUUCUUCAGUAAAACAUGUGGUGUGAAUUUUGAUUGUUUUUUGUGCUUAAAGCUCAGUAGACCUUAGGGCUUUUCUAUGCCUUUGCUUGGCUAUUCUAUGUACAACUCCAAAUAUGCUAGUCUCUGGUGUGACAUUACGAUGAUUGAAGGUGUUAAAUGGGGAUAAGAUGGAAUAAAAUUACAUUGAGAGAAGUUGUCUUAAAAGACCUACAAUCUUUUAAAAUACAUAAAUAAGAACUAAAUACAAUAGAAGCAAAAGAAAUAUAGGCGAUACCAUUGUAUCAAUUAGCUGAGGUUAAGGUUUAGUCAUGUUAAAUCCAGCGAUUAGUUUCUCUUCCCAUACAUUUAUGUUUUUUUUCCUCAUUAGUUCCUCUCUUUGCUAAACCCUAAGCCUUAAUUGCACUUUGUGCUUAAAGCUCUGCAGACCUCUGGUGCUUUUCUACAUUGUUCGCUUGACAACUCAUCGACGUAGACCUCCAAAAUACACCAUUCUUUUGGUGCCACAUAUGCGGCAUUACGAUGUCUGAAGGUAUUAAAAAGGAUAAGAUUCAUCAAAAUUACAUUGAGAGAAGUUGUUUUAAAAGACCUUUCAAUCUCUAAAUAUAGUCGUACAUAAUUGAAAGCAAAACACAAUAAAAACAAAAGGCAUAUUAGGCGAUACCAUUAUAACCAAUUGGUUAAGGUUAAGAUUUAGUCAUGUUAGAAGUACACUUAUGUUCGGUGAUUGCCAAGAGUCUCUCUAGUUUGUUUAACGUUUUGUAUGUAGAUAGAAAAUAUGGAGAACUUCUAGAGAAACCAUAUUUGCCUCUAGAGACAAAUUAUUGUUGAAAUUAAGCGGGUCCAAAUGGAGUGGAAUGAAUAUUGAUGAUUCCCAGGCGAACCGACUAGUUUGAAAUGAGGUGCGAUUCGAGCUGAACUGACUAGUUUUAAAUGAGGCAUAAUUAUUUUGUUGUUGUGAAUACAUUCAUGGAACAUUUUUCUAAGAUCCUUUUCAAAUGUCUACCUCAGAACCUGUUAUAUAUUUGAGAUAAAAGAUAGAAGUUUAAAACAGAAAGGUGGAUUUGAAGGGGGUGCUGGUGUGCAUGGAAGAGCUUCAAUAAUCUUAGAGUUUGUUGAAGCAAGACAAAUCAAUGUUCUCUGCUUUCAUUUCUUUGGAUUUACUCAACGUUUUGUUUUUGCUUUUUAUUAAAAAUAUUAAUCCUAAAAAGCACAACUUACUCAUAUGGGUUGCUAAAUAUUUUUUCUGAAGUUUGACAAAAAACUUUUUCUUCUUU